CAAUUAAUUCGUUUCACUAACAAUAAUAAUUUGUUAGAUCUAAAUUACUGGUUUAAAAUAUUUAUAUACUAUACAAGGUCUCUUAUAGUUCAAUUAAAAUUAUUUUUUCAUCCGACGUGAGAUUAUUGGAGUGUUAAAUUCAGAUCACUCGAUGUGAGAUUUUAGAGCUGACAUUUAAGCCCUUAUUUGGUUGGGGGUUAAGAGGUGGAAUAACCCCUUAACUCCCAUUUUAUCCCCAAAUAUCUCAAAAAAUAGGUGGGAUUAGCUAACCCCACCUCAAAAAAAUUAUCCCGGAUUAGCUAAUCCCAUCUAACCCCACCAAACUCCAACCAAACACUAUUUUCUAUUUAUAAUAACCCACUAUCUUUCUUAUCACACCUAUUCUAACCAAUCAUUAUCCUUCUUUAUCAAUCAUUAUCUUCUUAUCCGACCUACUCCAACCAAACACUAUUUUUUAUUAUUCUAGACUAACUCCAACCCCCAACCAAACAUAAAAAAAUUUUAACCCCACUUUAACUCUGAACUUAACUCUAUUCCUGAAAUAGCUAUUUUUUUCUUAACCCCGAACCAAAUGGAGGCUAAAGGUUCAAGAGGUGCUCUCACAAAAUUCGUUGAUGUAGUACUUACUCAUUAGACUGCUCAAAAUAUUUAAAUCUAAUUAUUUUUAGUAAUAUAAAAAGAAAAAGACUCUUGUAAUUUGAUCAGAAUUAUUUUUUUAUUUGGCAUGAAACUAUUGAGGAUGCGUGCAGGCUCCACUGGAGCUCUCUCAACUUGAGAUCCAAGCCGAGCACUGGUCUCUUUCCGAAUGCAAACUGUUUGGGAGAUAUGUUUUUUUAAGCGUAAACAGUUGUCAGCAUGAAACUUCACAUCAGAGGGUCAAAACCCUACGCCCAGGCUAAUGCCCACGCUCCGUAUUAUUAGACCGAACAACUAAAUCCACGAAACAAGACAACAAAGAUCUAUCUAUUCACAAAGAGACAACAGAGAUCGAUUCAAAGCACAAGGAUGCUCUUACGGGUCCUAGCUCGACAUAAUGGCAUCUAAGAUCAUUAACCUCUUAUUAAAAAGUACUUUUAAAAAAAGCAUUUUAAAACUUCUACUGGAAACUAAAGCUGGAUUAAGAAGAACACGCUGCCUCUUUAGACCCGGCUAAGAUUUUGGGCCGCGCGUGCUGAUCAGCUUCGCGGGUCCCGCAAAGAUACACAUUUCGAUUAUAUUUAUUUUGAGUGUUUUGUUUUGUUUUGUUUUUGUUUUUUUUUUUUUUUUUAUGUUGGUUUAAUCCGCGUCGAAUAAUAAAACAUUGAGGAGGUUUGGGGAUUAGAUAGGGGGCAUUAAAUGCGGGGCACGAAAAUUAAGGCGAAUUAUCAACCGUCAAAUACGUCAUGUAGUAGUGUCCGAGCACACACCCUCUGAUCCCAAUUACCGCGGUGGGCCCCACGCGCACGAUCCCCGUCGUCAGAGGAUCGAUUAGGCGUGUACGCUAUCUUAUCACACGCCACUCCCCUGUAACAGACCUAUUCCCUCCUCUUCCCUAGCUAUUCGAAUCCAAUGUUCGCGCAUGCUCUCUCUCUCUCUCUCUCUCUCUCUCUCUCUCUCUCUAUACAAUACAAUACAAUACAAUACAAUCAACUUAUUCCUCGCUCAAGGUUGAAUUUCAUUUUAAUUAAAGAGUUAUAUAAAUAAGAUAAAAAUUAUACAAAGUUUACUUAAAUGGUCUACUAUUUUAAAUCCACUGUCUUUUUUUAAUUUUUUUAAUUUUACUAUCUAAUUUAUUAAUUUAUUUAAUUUGAAUCGGUCAAUAAUAUUGACUUCAAUAUUUAAUUUAAUAAUUUAUUUUAAUUAAAUUAUAGUCGCAAGAAUUAUAUGAAGCGUACUAUUUAAAUUUGUAAAGAUAAAUAAUACCUUUGAAAUUUAAACUCAAAUUUUUUUUUGAGAGAUAGGUAGAUCCGCUUCGUUUAUUUUAUUUAGAAAUAAACUUAGCUAGAAAUAUGAGUCUCUCGGGUAUCAACCAUUAAGUCUUUUACCACUUGCGCUAGGGACGGUCGGUAACUCAAAAUAUUGUCAACAGACAUAUAUCAAAUAAAUUGAAAGCUUGAAUAGUAAAAUUAAAAUUUUAAAUUUUUGCGUAACCAACUCAAAAUGGUCUAUAGUUCAAAUAAAUUAUAUACAUUUUUAUUUUAGAUAAAUUAUAAAUUGUAUAAAUAAAUAAUGAGUGAGUAUAAUUAAAUCAAGUUUUUUGUUUUUUUUUUUUUUGGGUGCAUCUUUCAUUAUUAAAUUUAACCGUUCAAGACAACGGCAGAAUCGGCGUGCAUGCAAAAACGUUAUGUAUAUAUGUUGUUUUUCUUCAACAGAGUUCAAUGGGGAUUAUUAUUUCACUGCAGUGGCAAAGAAACGUAUCCGCAUUGAAAACUUUAAAAACUUUCUUAUUAAUCACAAUGUAUUCGAUUAGACGUAGCGGAAAGUUCGUUAGUAAAAAGGGAUUACUCAUCGUAUCUACGAAGGUUAAUUAUAGCUCAAAGAAGCUUUCUUAAUUUUAAAUAGAUGUAGCGCUUCACUAUUUAGAAAAAUAGCAAGAAUAUUUACAUCUAACCCACUUUAUAUAUUUUAGAGAAACUUCAAAAAUUCCCACUGUGGUUUCACAUUUUUUCAUUUUAAUACCCUGUGGUUUAAAGUGUAUCAGGUUAAUACCCUGUGGUUUCUCACUUUAUCACUUUAGUAUCCUGUGAUUUAAAAUGUAUCAAGUUAAUGCCCUGUGCUUUUAUUUUUUUAUUAAGCUAGUACCCUAUGGUUUUUAAACCACAGGGUACUAAAGUAAUAAAGUACGAAACCACAGAGUACUAAGGCAAAAAAGUGCGAAACCACAGGAUACUAAUUUGAUACACUUUAAACCACAGUGUACUAAAGUGAAAAAGUGCAAAACCACAAAGUAUUAACUUGAUACACUUUAAACUAUAGGAUACUAUAGUGAAAAAAAAAGUAAAACCACAAUGAGGUAUUUUGAAGUUUUUCCUAUAUUUUAUGCAUAUCAGAGAGAGUCUCUCGGAAUGCAUCCACCGCUACACAUACGCAGCGGUUCCAAUAAGAGCAAUACUAUUUAUAUACAUGUAAUAUAAUUAUAAAGCUUAAGCCCUGAUGCUAACUUGGCUUAAUAACUUUUUUUAACUAAACUUUUCUAAAAAAAUUUAAGACCAGAGUGUCACGGAUAAAAUGUUUCCCGCUGACUUCUCCUUGACAGUGGCCCAAAUCUGCUAGCAAAACGGGUUGAAAAUAGGUUGAAUCGGAUUGUCAAGGAGACCCAAACCUAACCCGCUGUGUGAAGACGAAAGGUUUUGUAACCUCUCCUAUCAAUGAGGAAGCUCAAGGAUUAUAAAACUCCAAUGAGCUAUGGGGUGACUCUUAGGCUUAUGGCUCAUUAUGAGGGUGAGUUAAUGUGUCACAUAAUGAGAGAGUUAGUGUGUGUCUAGGUUCAUUGUAUCUAGAAACAUAUAAGUAGUGAGGUUUGAGUAAGGUCAAAACACAUAAGAGAGAGCGUGUAUGUGAGUUGUAAUUCUCAUUUUUCUAAGUAGUGUAGUACUUAGCUUUUUGAGUGAAUUUCUGUCUCUCUCUCUUUGUCAUUUCCUUUGCAUACUUAGUCGUAGGACGCGAAGAUCCGGACUAGCAAUAGGAACGAAGGCUUGCCCAUUUUCGAGCAGGAAGGCGGGCGCCGCACGGGCUUUGCAAACAGAAACGCUAAGGCCGUGAGAAGAGGGUGUAAAACAUAUAAUUUUAUAUGCAAUCUAUAGAGAGUAUUUCCUUCAAAGUAACUGUAUGCUCCGUGUAUUUUUUUAGAAAUAAAUUCAACUAAAAAUAUAAAAUAGUUAAAUUUUGAACUGAAAAUUACAGAUAUCAAAUAAUAGCUAUUUAGUUUUUGAGCGUGCGCUGAAGCUUUUCUGGACCCGGGAUCGAGUCCCGACCAAAGUUAGUUAAUUCGGAUUCGGCAAAAAUUCGGUACGGAUAUAAUUCGAAUAAAAUUCGUCUUCUAAUUUUUAAAUUCGUUAAAAAAUACCGCCAAAAAAUGGAUUCACCAAUUAUUCGGAUAUGUGAUUUAUAUGGAUAUUAUACGUUCACCAAUUAAAAAUUCGGGAUAAAAAAUUCGACUAUUAAAUUAAUUUUUUUUUCUCUCAAGAUUUAUGCUAUUAGCAUAAAUACUCAUAUUUCUUAAGAAUAUAAAAAUAAAGAGUACAAAAUUAAGCUAAUUAAGUAAAAAAAUAGCAAACUAUAUUAUGCCUCAAACUAAAUAAAUAAUUAAGUAAAUAAGAGAUUAAGAUGGUCCAUAAGAGAUUAAACUUUUUUGAUCGAGUGAAAUUUUUUUUUUUGGGAGGAAGAGAGGCGAACGUUUCGGAAAGUGCUUUCUUUUUUCUUUUUUUUUUUUCUGUUUUGGGCGAGGUUUGGAUUCUUUGAAAAGGGUUUUUUUUUCUGUUUUGGGCGUGGUUUGAAAAGGUUUUUUCUUUUUUUCUUUUUCUGUUUUGGGCUCGCCGCGAGGCCCGCGAGGCCUGCGAGGCCCUCGAGUGCGAGCGUGAGCGAGCCGUGAGGGCGGAGCGUGAGCGUGAGGACCGCGAGCGCCGUCUUUUUGGCCGAAUAUUCGCGACUCACGAAUUGUUUGCGAAUAAAUAUUUUUGACCAAAAAUAGACAUUUUUUUCCGAAUUUUUGGAAAAAAAAAAACGAAUGCAAUCGUUGAAUUCAUUUCUUCAAAAGUUUGCAAAUAAUUUGCGAAUUAACUAACAUAGGUCCGGACUGAAACUUUCAAGGAUGAUUUUUUUUAGAUUGGAAAAUGCUUACGGACAUUGACAAAAAAAAAAAGAAAAAAAAAGCGCCCCGCACACGCAGACUCUUUAGCGUUACAAGUAAAUCACUAUGUACGCAUAAGGUCGCACAGGUCGGUCCCAACUUAGUAACUCAGGAACACGCCGGAAACCUGAUAUAUUCACCCACAUUUUCUAAAAGCUCGCGUCAUUUGCCCGCACUGUCCUGAGGAUCAUACAUAUCAUGGGCAAGUGGAAAAAGUAGAGCGGAUGAAGUGAUGGAGUGGAGAAUAAGAUCACCGACCUAAUACGCUUGGGAGAGCGUAAUUACGAAUUAGGAGAGAGAAUAUGAGGGCCUGGGCCCCACCGGAGCAUGGCGCGAAGAGCGUGACGUUGCUUCGGACCGCGGACACCCAUUGGACCACACAUCGCCCGGCCCAUGUCGCGGAUCUCCGUGUCCCCGAAUGCGAGAGAGAUCUCCCACCGUCCGUCUCCCCCCAUCGGACGGUCGCCGCGUUCCUGACACCUCCUGGUCCCCGCUUCACAUGGCGGGUCCCCUCCCCCUGCUUGCUACCUCUAGCAGAUUUUGCUUGCACCCGGUGCACUCUGGCAGCGGUGCGCUAUGGUCGAUAGUAAUUUUUAUGAAUCGUCUCAAAAAUACUUUGUAAGAAAAUAACUUAAAAUUGAUUUUUUUUACUAUAUAUAUAUAUAUAUUAUUUGGAUAGUAUUUUAUUGAACAACGUAAAACUAAGUAGAUUUAAAUUUCUAUUGCUUAAAUAUAUUUUUAUUAAAAUUAAGUUGGAGUGGUUUUAGAAAUAUAGAGAUCUUUGUGAUUUUAAGUCAUUAACAGUAAAAGAAUUUUCAAAUUGGCGAUCAGUUUUAUUAAAUUUGAUUUAAAGUUUAAAAAAAAUUCUAAUUUUUUAAUAUUGUUAAUCUAUCUAGUCAUAAAAAGAGUUAAAAAUGAUAACUAAUUUUAAAACUCAAUUUGAGCCAUUUAUGAGCUUAAUGGAAUAUACGUAUCUAAAUUAUGCAGUAUUUAGGUAUGUAUAUACCAUGGAUGGAAGAUACGAGCGUGGAUGAAUGAGCAACCACGGAUGAGUCCGAUGCACGGAAGAGGUGGUGAGCCGGGCGCAGGGUAGAAUUUCUUCGUCCCACUCGAGGAUUGGCUGGACUGGGAACCUCCUUCCACGUAACGGCUACAUGUCACGCUGGGAGACUGACACGCCAGGGUUAAGAGAGCCGCGGCGCGGGAGAAGCCGUUACACCGAACGACGACUAACAUUAUUUAGGAGCGCGGAACUCGCAGAACACCGGGCGGUAAAAAGGACGCUGACCAAUGGCAUCGCGACACGUACUCAAGCCCCGUGCUGUUUAGUCUAAUCAACGGCAUCACGUGGCCACCUCCGUAAUGAUUCAGACCAGCAUUCGACAACCGUAUGCCACGAGUCACACAGCACGUGACCUCCUCUCCCGGCCCCCCUCCCCCGCCCCCACUCCACCCCUCUGACGCUUUACUACUUAACCGCCUUAAUAAAUCCUUUACCUUCCCCACUACGCUCCUCGUCGUCGUCGUCGUCGUCGUCGAAUCGCGGUAAAUUGUAAAGAGAGCUUUUUUUAACUGCUCUUUAAUGGUCUCUUUGCUAUUGCUAUAAAUUUUGGGGUGGAUUUUUUGCCUUGAUUUUGAGGGAUUUGGGGAUCGAAACCACCGGGGUUUUGCAAUCAUUGCGGGAGAUUGCGGGCUUAUUGCUGUUCCCAAUUUUGAUUAUAUAAGCUUUAAUUUCCCAGUCUCAAGUGGGGGAGCCAAGUGGUUUAGCUCUAACUAGAGAGGGAGAGAGAGAGAGAGAGAGAGAGAGAGGGAAAUUUGAUGGAUUUAAGCUUGGUGCCGUACGGGGGGGAGAUGGGGAAGGGGAGAGGGGAGGUGGGGGCGGCGGCGGAGGGCGGCGGCGGCGGCGCGGGAGGAGGGAGGUAUAGGGAGUGUAUGAGGAACCACGCGGCGGCGAUCGGGGGCCAAGCGUACGACGGGUGCGGCGAGUUCAUGCCGGGGGGAGCGGAGGGGAGCCUCGAGGCGCUCAAGUGCGCGGCGUGCGGCUGCCACCGCAACUUCCACCGCCGCAAUGGCGGGGCGGACGCGCGCCGCGCGCAGAUCGCCUACGGCUGGGACCAGCGCAAGCCGAUUCGCGGCCGCGCGCCGCCCUUCCCGCGUUCCUCGCCCCUGGCCCCGCUCCCCGCUCCCUACCACGCCAUCGCGCCCCCGCGCCGCCCGCCGCUCGCCACCCAGCACCAGCACACCACCAGCACCAGCACUCCGCGGCGUACAAACGCCGGGGACCGGCAGCGCGGACGGGUCGAUGAUCCGCCGCCGCGGCGCGAGAGGAGCGGUCGGGGCGGGGACCGCGCGUCGCGCGAAGGCGCUUCCGCACCAAGUUCAACCGCAGGACAGAAGAGAAGAUGCAGCGCGUUCGCGGAGAAGCGUGGGGUGGCGAUCAAGAAGCACGACGUCCGUGGCGCUUCCAGCAGUUCGACCUCGAGGAUUCGCGUCGACACGCCUCCUUCCACAGGGUGCAUCAGUGGAUGCACAACAACAAGAGCCCACCUCGCCUCUCCCUCCCCUCCGCAUCCUCCCCUCUCCACUCCCCUUCUCCUUCCCCUUCACCCCCACCGCGCCGCCGUGCCGCCGCCGCCGCGCCGCGCGCCCAACUCCGCCGCCGCCGCGCCGCCUCUCCUCCGCCAUCCGAGUCUGAAGCUCCAGCUCUCGAUCGAGAAAGAUUGCGAUGUGUUUAACAAUAAUUAUUGAUGGCGCGCCGACAUUCUAAUCUCCGUCGCUUUUCCCCAGGUAUACGAAACGAAACCUGAAACAAAAAAAAAAAAAAAAAAAAAAAAAACAAACGCGUCGAGUGCUGUGAUAUUUGGGGGCAUUCCUUCCGGAUUCUAUAUUAAAUUAUGUUAUUAUAUAUUAUUAUAUGUAGCUUAGAUCCUAGAUUAGAUCUUAGUGUAGAUGAUGAUGAUGAGGUGAGGCUCUGAUGCUUCUUCACCUGAAUAUUUCUAUCUCUGGUAUUAUUCUAAUGAAUGAAUAUUUUACGUCUCUAUCGAAUGAUUAGCGCGUUUCUAUAUUAGUUAACAUCUCUAUGGAAUGAUUAGUUUAAUCUACGGUUAUUUCUUAGAGGGUGUUUGGUUGUACCAAAAAGAAUAAGAAAUUGCUUUCUAUAAUAUAUUUUUUUUAAUAAAAUACAGAAAAGUGCUUUCUAUUUAUAGAUCUCAUUUUUUAAAUAAAAAAAUUUUAAAAAUUAAUUUCGCGAAAUUUAUAAUUCUUAAAUUUUUUUUUUUAAAAAAAAUUGGACGAUAGAUAUCUAUGUGUACGGUGUGGUUGGUGUCAAGGUAUAAAUUCUCCUUUAUGAGGAUUAUUAUUAUUAAGGAGAUGUGGGAACCAACUGGCGUCGCUGUAGGAGACAACAAAAAGAAAAUGAGCUUUUGUGCUGAUCAUCAUGUGCAAAAAAAUUACAGCACCAAAAUGACAUCCGAGCAGCCUCUUAUAGCUAGGGUUUGUUAAUUUGUUGUGUGGAAAAGAAUUCGACACAUGAAUCCAACCAGCUCUUAGCCAGGAUGAGUCUUAAUCAUUGCUUGCUCGGUCUGAUCAGAUUUGCAGUGUCUGAGAACUGUUCGUGAAGUGCGGUAGUGCCAAACGUGCAGGAAAGCCGAACCACUGUCGGUGUCGGUUGUCGGGCGGCACGGUCGACACUCGACUGUGAUUCCUCUGGGACUGAAGCAUAUGACUGUAUUACAGUCCCCCCUGCUCUUACGUACUAGCUCGCUCGCUCGCCUACGAAUCUACGAUGCGAACUUGUGGCGACGACGGCGACGUUGUCCGCCUCCAGUGCAUGCAAAGUGAUCAAACACUCCCCCAGUGGAUGUUAACUUCUAACUCUUUUGGGCCUACCGGGACCCCAGCCGGAUUGCAUGAUGGGGUGAUAGAUCGAGAUGAAUAUAGCUUCCGAUAGUGGAUUCUGAAGGGAUUUAGGCUCUGUAUUAAUCCACGAGUAUGAUAGCGAAGUUUCAUAGCUAGUGCUAUAUGUGGGCCAAGAAGUAUCUUCAGCAGAUGCUUGGGACAAUGAUAUUAAGCUAAUUAAUUAGUGUCUUGUAGGAGGGCUUUAUCUGGGUUUGGGAAUUUGGGUGUUGAUAUUAGAUAGUUGUUUCAUACAGUUGGUUGGUUCCGAACUGCAUAAACUGAAAGUGGGCUUACCGUGCCUGCCGAAGUGCACUUCGGUCCUCACUGUUGCCGGGGAACUGGAGAUCGAAAAGAGUACAUGUACUUCACCUGAGUUUCCACAACUACUACACUCGAAAGGGUUGCUACGCUGUGGUUGGGUUGGAAUUACUACAGAAAAAAUUGUUUGAAUAAAAAAGUUUGAAGAAGCAUCUAUCUUGCUUCAGGGUCCAGCAAAAGCUUACUAGCUCAUUUGGGAGCUUGAAAAGCUUAUUUAUGUUACAUCUCAGGGCGAAGCUUGAUCUAAGUUUUCAUUUGUCAAAGAGCCAACUCAAAACACGGUUCAGAAAUAGAAGCUAUGCCAAACAAGCCUCUAAGCGUUCUUAUAUAGGUUAAGAAUGGCGACGUGAAAUGUUUGGGAAUAUAGCAGCAAAAUAGAAAUAUUUUGUACUUCAUAUAAAACUAAGAUUGAAAUGGAGAUAAUGAGUGGUGAUCAUAUAGCUGGGUGAAGUACACAACUAUGAUGCAAGCCUAGACUCGGUAGUGUCUACAUUAACAAGUACAAUCUAAUUUUUGUUUCAAAAAAUAUGCAAAAUCUAGAAUUUAUCGAUCUCACUGCUACUCGGAACUCGAUCUUGAUUUACAUGAAUUACGGCAAUUUUUUCUUUUCUCUCUUUGUAUCAGCUAAACUUUGGAGCUUACAAGCCAUGCAUGUUGCAACUCCAAACCAAUGCUAAUAUACUGAACAUGCUAUAAUGCAAUUAGGCAUAAUCUAACCUAUGGCCUUGUUUAGCCUAGUGGGUGCGGCAUGGCCCGUCGCAACAAAAGCAGCCCAUUUUGAGGCCACUUUCUACCGCGCAGCUCUACACGUCACUGCAAUUUAUUACUAAAUGUAUUUCUAGAGUUCAAAAAUUCGCGAUGUGCAGUACAGCUGGGCCAAACAGGCUAUAAAUAAUGCGCAAUUCCAAGUUGAAUCACAGCCCAUUAAUGUAAGCCAUAUCGUUUGAAAGUUCCUUUGCCACACUUUAUUCCUAUCCAGGAUAGACAUGAGGAAUAAGUACCCCACACGUCCCUAUCUCUACCCAGGCCAUUUUCAAAGCUUUACAUAAGGAAUCGAUCUCAAAAUGAUAAAAGCUCACAAAACAAAUUGAAAGAGAAAAGAAGAAGGGUCCAGAGAACCUUGAAGUAACUUAAGGAUUGAGAACAUGGGAUUGUGGAACUGGCCUUGGAGCACGGGACCAUCCGGCUUUGGCUCAUCUUCUACCGCCGAAGAGGUUACCGAAGGAAUUGACGCUAGCCAUCUCACGGUUAUCGUCACAGGUUCAUGUAUUUCCUAUAUGUUCCGAAGUAUCGAUAUCCAGUCGCUGCAAUUCAGUUUCGUUUCAGUCAUAUCAGUUUCAAAUUAGUUCGGUGGACAGAGGUCGCAAACAUCAAAAUUCAAAAUUGAAAAGUUGAAUUGUGUAAACAGUUUGGAACAGUUCAUACCGGUGCACAAUCAACUAAGACAACAAACGGAACAAAACUGUCGAAGAUAACAGUACGAACAGUAGUUAAAUAAGUCCCAACUUAGAUCAGUGGUAACUGCUAUGCGUAUUAUCAUUUGAAUUCCAUUGAGUAAUCAAUAGUUAAAAUUAGUGAAUCCCACAGAACCUCAGCAUACACCACAUAUUAGGCACCUAAAGAGAGUUUAAUUCUAUCCCUGCUAGAUUACAAAAACAGUGGUGUUUGGGAGUUAACCUUACUUAUCUCUUGUUUCUUUAUUUUCUACAGCCGAAAAUUCCAUAUCAAUUAUUCAGAAUCUGAUGCCUGGUCGACAACCAAUUACAUUAAACUAUCAAUUUGUUUCGUCCCCUUCUACUUCAAAUAAGUGCUGCUGCUUUCAUGCAUGGCAGGAGCAACAAAUGGCAUUGGGAAAGAGACUGCAAGAGUAUUAGCACUAAGAGGAGCAAAAGUGAUAAUGCCGUCGCGGACUCUGGAGAGUGGCAUGAAGGCGAAAGAGAGCCUCCUCGAGCAAAAUCCGAAUUCGAAACUCGACGUUAUGGAGAUGGAUCUCAGCUCCCUCGAAUCCGUUCGGAAGUUUGCGCAGUCCUUCAAUUCAAGAAACAAGCAUUUGAACAUUCUAAUGUACGAUUAGCCCGGUAUUUCAUCGGUUAGUUUAUCUGGCUGUAAAGAUUCUGAUGGGCACGUUCUUUCGAUUGAUUACAGCAACAAUGCAGGAAUAAUGGCUUGCCCAUUCCAGCUAUCGAAAGAUGGAAUAGAGUUGCAGUUUGCUACAAAUCACCUUGGUAUUAAUCCUCCACGAAACAAGAAAGAAUAGGUCUAGUUCCAUGAACAAAUAGAGAACGCACAGGCGCCGCUUGAACUCUGCACUUUUUCUGAAUUAGAGCACUGUGAUCAACAUUUUGGUCGGAACAGCAUUGGUUUUCUAUUCCCCGUAACUAGCCAAAUAGUGGAACUUACAGACCCUUUUAACUUUGAAAUCUGGCUCUCGAACUUCAUCGAACGAGUUUUUACUUUUGCCUCGUUGACAAAAAAAAAAAAAAAAACAACUACGACCCUGAACAUGUACCCCGGUUACUCGAGUUAUUCAGGAUUUUUGUCCUCGGUUCUUAUUCCAAAAUAUGAUUCUGAUGUGCUUCCAAUUUGUGAACAAUUUCCUCUAUUCCAUGUAGAACUUAUUUGCUUAAAAAAUGUAGGGCAUUACUUGCUGACAAGUCUUCUACUAGACAAACUGAAAACUACAGCUAAAGAAACAGGAAUUCAGGGAAGGAUUAUAAAUGUCUCGUCGACUGCUCAUAGAAGCAGCGACGGAUCUUUCUUCGAUCUGGAGAAGUUAAAUGAUCAGUCCAGGUAGACUCAUAGAUUCUCUAGUAAAUUCUUUAUACUACUUGAAUUAAUCAAAAAUGAAAUACUUUAUCUUUCAGUUCCAUUAUCAUUCUUGUAGGUACAAACCUUUCGGUGCAUAUGCUCAUUCGAAAUUGGCAAACAUACUCCAUGCAAAUGAGCUCUCUAGGCGACUACAGGUCUUCAUCACUUAUUUACAGAAAAAAGUCUCGUAAAGUCGAACAAGCAUAAUCUGAUAAGAAAAUUAUAGUAACUCCAAUUUGAUAUCAAUUAGGAAGAGGGAUCGGACGUGACCGCCAACUCUUUGCACCCAGGAGUUAUAGUGACCAAUAUAGGUCGCUACCUUACUUCAAACGGUAAUGGCGAUUUUCCGCUGUCGAUAUAUAUUUUGAUUAUUUCCUGUUAGCUAAAGCAUGUGUUUGCUCCUUGACUCACGCAGCCGUGGUAUUUACACUACUAGCUACUUUGGUAAAACCUUUUGUGAAAAGUAUACCCCAGGUAAGUUAUAAUUCCUAUAUCAUCUUUUCUGUAUUUCUGUCAAUAUUUCGGCUUGUUUUCAUUCAAAUAAACAUAAAACAACUCUGAGAGCAUAAAAUAUUUCGCAUGACAAAGACAUUCUAAUACUUGCAGGGAGCUGCAACUACUUGUUAUUUAGCGUUGCACCCGAAUCUAAAGGAUGUAAGCGGAAAAUACUUCGCUAACUGCAACGAAACAACACCUUCUGCCAAAGCAAGAGAUGGAGAAUUAGGUAAAAGGCUCUGGGAGUUUAGUGAAGAACUUCUCCAGAGAAGCAGCAAGGCGACAAAAUAAUGUUAAUAUAAAGCACUAUAUAUCACUUACAGUAGCAUGAACAAUUCACUAACCAAUGCAUUGCAUUGUUAUCACCUCUAGCUUAAAGAUCAUUCAAAUUAUCCUUAUAUUUAGAAAAUAAAAAUGCCAGAACUUGAUGCCUUCUCUUUUGAAUCCGGAAAAUCUGAUUGUGGUGCUUUAUACCUUCCCUAAAUUCAGAAUUAGGAUUGGUAAUUGAUUGGUUUCUUUUACCAAUCCCUCUACAUCUCUUUCGUCGCCAGUUCUUUUGGCAUUGCUUUAUUUAAUUUCCAAUCUUUCUACAAGUUCAUUUGUUUUUUUUUUCUCUGUUCUAAUGUCAAAUUGCAAUGAUCAGUUUCUGCUCCAAACUUGUUGAAGUUUUGUUCAUUCACUCUCCCACUAUAUCUGUGGUCAGUUCCUCUUGCCAAUAUUUGUGUUUAUUUUCUCAUGCAAGCUCUGCAACAUAUACAUAUUGGCACAAACUAGUACAAUUAUAACCUUGUAAUCACACACUAUAUGGUGUGUUCAAUUAUUGUAAAUAUUAUAGCAUCGUGGAGUAUUAUGUUAGAAAAAUGAAAAAAAUAUAUUUUCUUCUUUAGUUUUCACGAGGAUGAAUGCUUAAGAGUGAUAGCAUUCACUGAAGGCAAAGGACCAAAUUCCAUCCUCAAAAAAGAUGCUUUCAUUUGUCCUACAAUUACAUAAACAUUAUGCAUUACUAAAGACUAAAGUGAAUAAAUGCACCAAAAUCUCUGAACUAUUGCACUUUUAUAAAUGGUUGCUAAAAUUUUUAAAAGCUACCAUUAGCUAUCUAAACAAUUUGUUUGUUUCAAUCAAUCAUCUAGUCUAACUUUUGUUAAUAUUUGCUAUAUUCUUCGGCACGUCAGAAUCACGUGAUCCAAAAUUGAAAAUUUUGACUAAAUCACUAAUUAUUUUAACAAGAUCCUUCAUCAAAAUUGACUAAACUAACAAUAAAAAGAAACUUCAAAAGCCUCUUUUUUUUUUUUGAGAAAAAGAUAACAUACUACCCGCUUCAUUCAUUCAAGGCGUGAAUUAAACUACAUGGGUGAAGCAUCAGGGCCUCAAAGGUGACAAAAACAAAAAAAUGACGGAUGUUGUUUACAAGGUACAGUUAAAUCUGCUAUACUGUCAACAAGAUCUAUCUAUAGAUCAAAAAUUUUUCCACUGAGCCAUCAGGUGUUUGAUCUUAUGGAUCCCACUGAGGAGGUCCGCCUGGGCCUUCAUAAAAAUCGCUACGUUCCUAGUCUCUCACACCACCCACCAGCAAGCUAUAAUACCACUUAAACCGUUACUCGUGGAUUGUCCCCCCUUCCGACCUUUUCAAAUAUCCCACACUAAGUGUAUGCCAUCUUCCAAGUCUCGUGGCUGGACAUCCUCCAGUGACAUCACCAGUUUCAAAAGCCUAUUUUAAAAUGAACCAUAGUUGAUCCAGAAAGUCUGCAUACAUUUAAUUGAGGCUCCUUUACAAAAUAAAAAGUUGAAGGGCUACUUUGGAAAUUCCGCAUAAUUGAGGAGUGUUACUACACUUUACCAAAAAAGAUAUGACGUGGUGAGCAUGGUCCAGGAUAAUUUUCUCCGGCGGUGAGCCUUGCAUCAGCGUGCUUAUAUAUUUAAGCUCAUAAACCGAACUCCUCCGUAUCCAAAGAGAGGGGAAAAGGGCCGUAAAAAAUGGCGCCUCUUCUACCGAGCUCGCAACCAUGGGUGGAGAAAUAGUGCGCCCGCCUCUUCCCCUCUCUUCUAGGGUUUAGGGUUUGGUGCUCUCUCUCGCUCUCUCUCCUCUGUUCCCUCUCGGUUUGACCCCUCUCUCCCUCUCUCUUCUCGCAGUCGCCCGAAGAAGGUGAAGGAUGUGGCGCAUCAGGACGAGGUCGUGCGCGUCGUCACCAACACCCUCGAAACCGCCGAUGUGAGAACCCUAGAAACCCUACACCAUUCUUCUUCUUCGUCCUAGUUCCCUUGAUCAUUGUUGAUCUUUAUGGAUUGGAACCCUAAUGUAACCUACAGUUGCCUCACUUGCUCUUCUAUGGCCCUCCUGGAACCGGGAAGACCACCACCGCCCUUGCCAUCGCGCACCAGCUUUUUGGGUAAUUCUUGAUCAUCAAAUAACUGCAUCCAGGAGGGGAUUUUUCGAUUCCUCAUGGAUUAGGGUUUUAUUGUUUCAGUAAUCCAGCUGAUUAGGGUUUUUCGUCUCAGGGGUAUUUAAUCUAGUAGUAAGUCGUAUUGUGUUGGACAAGGGCGUUUAGUUUCUCUGAUUGGGUCUACUAAUCCUAUUAACUGUUGAGCGCAUUUAUUCUUUUCAAAGAUGUCUUUAUACAUAACACAAUGCUCACUCUAUCAUUCAUUUGUCUAUCUUAAUAAUGCGCAUAACAUCAGUGUUCUGCGUAAGUUCUUGCAUUAAAUUAAUCCGACAAUAUUUGGGUCAUCUGCUGCUUAUUAAGUUUUGUAGUUCUCUUUGGUAUUAGAUUAGGCAUAACAUAACAUCAAGCUGCAAGUUUGAUACUGUAUCUUGCUUUCUUUGCUAACUAUCUACUUGCCAGCAGACACUCACUUAAUGACUUGCAUCAGAUCGAAAAAUUUGUCGAUUCAGAGGAAGGAUAAGACCAGUGCUGCUAUAAGGCUGUAAAUCCAGCCUCAAUCGUUGGUGACGGGAAGAAGAUAUUAUCUGUUACUGCUUUAACCCGUUCUACUUUUAUCAUAACUAACCUAAAACAUUGGGUGGUUUUUUAUAGAGAUUCAGGCAUUCAAUGCAAACUGAUAUUUUGAACCUGAUAAGACGCGCUAUACAUUUAUGCGGAUUCUUACAGUGAACAUUUAAGAACUGCCGGUCUAAAUUUUUGAGCUGCGCAGCUUAUCAGAAGGAUUUUUCCGUCUUUAUUUCUGAAAAAAAAUUGCAGACCAGAAUUAUACAAGUCGAGAGUUCUAGAACUUAAUGCAAGUGAUGAUCGCGGAAUUAACGUUGUGCGAACAAAAAUAAAGGACUUUGCUGCUGUUGCUGUAGGUUCUAAACCACAUCAAGGGUAUAUAUACUUGUCAAUUUGAAAAUGCUUCUCAUUCUUAAUUUUUUAAUUAUUUGUUUUAUUAUUAUUUUUUUACUCUUCACUUUUGUGGUUUUAGAGGUUAUCCAUGCCCACCUUACAAAAUAAUUAUACUUGAUGAAGCAGAUUCGAUGACGGAAGAUGCUCAGGUAUAUGGCAUGCAACUGUUACUCUUUUACUUUGUUUGAUGUGGGAAUACACAUUUAAUUUGAAUGGCUCCUAAACAUCUACCCAACAGAAUGCCUUGAGACGAACUAUGGAGACUUACUCCAAAGUAACAAGAUUCUUCUUCAUAUGUAACUAUAUCAGCAGGUCUCUUCCCACUUCCUUUUCUAGUUUGAUUAUGUGAUGCACUUGCAAGUAAUUUGGUUGUUUGAUUCACUUCCUGUUGGGAAUACAGGAUCAUAGAGCCGCUUGCCUCCAGAUGCGCGAAAUUUAGAUUUAAACCUCUUUCUGAAGAAGUGAUGAGUGGUCGAAUCUUGCACAUAUGUAAUGAAGAAGGGCUUAAUCUGGAUAGUGAGGUGCUCUCUGUUCUCUUUACUUUAAGUUUGCUGUCAAAUUUGCCUUGUUUAUUAUCGACUUAUACAUGAAUGCUUUCUAUGUGUCAAUUAGGCUCUUUCUACCCUCGGCUCCAUCUCUCAAGGUGAUCUUCGUCGUGCCAUAACUUAUCUGCAGGUCUCAUCUCUUGCAUUAGAACUGUAUGAUUUCUUUCAUUAGUUUGCCUGGCGGACAUCCUGUUUUGUUUUUUUCCCCUAAUAGCUUUUUCAAUUUUUUUUUAUCUUCUCUGUCAAUUGAGAACAAGUUUAUUGUAAUCUUUAGAGACAUGCUUUAACUCAUUUAUCUUGUACUUCUGAAUUAUUGCAGAGUGCAGCUCGAUUGUUUGGGUCAUCUAUUUCUUCCAAUGACCUAAUUAGUGUUUCUGGGGUAUUCAACUGGCACUGAGACUUCAUUAUUUUUUCACUUUUGUGUGUUGAAAUUUGGAAAACUGGUUCAUCGAGUUUGAUCAAAUGACGAGAGGAUAUAUAUAAAAGAAUAGAGGAUCACAAGAUACAUGCAACCGUUACACUUCCAAGUACUUUGUUUCUUUACAGCUACCAAAACAUGCUUUAGUCCUUUUCUUGAUCUUAUUUUUCAUUCCACUGCAUCAGGUUAUCCCUCAAGAUGUUGUUGAGUCACUAUUCACAGCUUGUAAAUCUGGUGAUUUUGAUGUGGCAAACAAAGAAGUAACUAGAAUCAUCGCAGAGGGAUACCCAGUUUCACAGUUGAUCUGCCAGGUUAUUUUCCGUCCGGUUUUUUAUUUAUCAUAUAAGAAUGACCUGUACUAAGCUUUGAAUUGAGGUCUGUUUUCAGUUGUUAGAGGUGAUUGUUAAUGCCGAAGACAUACAAGAUGAGCAAAAGGCAAGAAUUUGUAAAAAACUGGGUGAAGCAGAUAAGGUUUGUUUGCUUCUGAGUUCUUAAUUCCAUGUAUUUGACACACCUUUGUAGUUUUUUCUUUUUUUUUUAUCUCCUUGUAGUAUUUUCUUUUUCUUUUUUUAAGCAUAUUUAUGGACAGAUUUGAUAAUUUUUACUAUAUGGAGCCAUUAAAAAAAUAUCACAUAGGUAAUCACUGUUGCAUAAAGCAGCAGUUUAUGAAUGGAAUAUUAGCGUCACGGUCUUGCGUUUUUUGUAUUAGGUUUUAUUUUCUACUCCCUUUUUUGUAUGUUUACAUUGUGCAGGUCUAUGUAGAACCAUGCUUAUACAAUUCUCUCCUCUGACUUUUCAGUGCUUGGUCGAUGGAGCGGAUGAGUAUUUGCAGCUGAUGGAUGUGGCGAGUCAUACAAUGCGAGCGCUCUGCAACAUGCAACAAGAAUUGUGCUUUAGCUAGUUAAUUUACAGCCAGAAAAUAGAGCAGUCAAAGCUAAAAUAUUCACCCAUGUUUAACCUGAUGCUUAUCACUGUGCCCUAAAUCUCAGCUGCUUUAAGAAGCAAUUUUCUUGCAUAUCUCUCUCUCUGUUUCUCGUACUGCUAAUUUAUUGGCCACAUUAUGAAUUAUUAACAGGUGGGUUAUUAUGUUCCAACUAUCGACAGUUCAUUUGAGCAUGAUUGGAAGGGUUUGAUGAAGAAUUUUCUCUUUUUUUUAUUCUUCAUAGUAAAUUACGGGCGAGCAAGAAUGUGCCCAUCGGUUUCCUACGCGGAAAUCUUAGAAUGGCACGUUUAUAUGGGCUGAGUAUCUUCCUCAUAACUCGUUAGGAUGUUUUUUCACUGUAUGAUAAUUAAUUGCUGACUAAGGAAAGAAAGUUUUAAAUUUUAGAAGAAAGGAAAGAUAUUAUAGUUGGAAAGUAGCUCAAGCUGUGAUUUAUGAUCUUACACCGGUGAAACGAGGAAAUUUGAUUAUCUAAUUUAAACCUUUCCCCAUUUUUCGGAGGGGGAUCAAUCAUAGAGAAGGUUUUAAUUGUUUGAUAUUUUGUCUGAUAUGUUCUCUUUUUCUAAUUGUUAGGAACUUAGGAUCGUUGGAUCUCUUAUUGCCAAAUAAUAGGUUUUUGGCAAGAAGAAUGAGCUUUCAUAUCAAUUUAAACUUUUCUUUUUGGAGAAUUCAAUUUAAACACUUUUUGGUGUCGUUAUUAUUCAUUCUUUAUUACCUACACUGCCUUGUGAGUCGGACAAGUGAUAUCUAAUGAUGAUCAAGGAUUGAUCUGUUGCGUUGAUAUUGUUUCAUAGUAUUUAUCUUGCAGAUGUGGAUGCAAGUUUUUCCCGGAUCGGGUGCACCAGAGUAAGCUUAAAUCACCAACAGUGAAAAUCAAAUUUGUCUUUAGGUUAAUAGCGCAUCCCAUUGUUUUUUUUUUUUUUUUUUAAUUGAAAACUAUUUAUUAAUCUAAGAUGAUUAAAUGAAAAGUAUUAAUUUUGAACUGGAUAUGUCGCACAAACCCUUAAAAAAGCAAACGAUUUAAUUUGGGUAGAUUGUAGGUGCCGUGUUGAAGAUCAGCUGCUUUGCUUAUUUACCAUGGGUGGACUCGCGCGCGGGACGAGCUCGCAUCGCACCCUCUCUCUCUCUCUCUCUCUCUCUCUCUCUCUCUCUCUCUCUCUCUAUAUAUAUAUAUAUAUAUAUAUAUAUAGAGCUAGGCNUCUCUCUCUCUCUCUCUCUCUCUCUCUCUCUCUCUCGUGUCGGGUGUCGCCCCCGCCACCCCCCCUUCUAAGUUCUACCUUUCUCGCUGAGCUCUCCCUCCCCUGAGCUUCUUCCUCCCUCUUCCGAAGACACCAUGCCGAGAAAAACCCCGCUUCCUCGCCCUCCUCCCGACUCCUCCACCAUGUCCCCUGCUUCCCCCGCCCUCCCCUCCUCAGGUACCUUCUCCUCUCCCCACUUGCUCCCCCGCCCCUUCUCCUCCUCUCCUCUCUCUCUCACUCCUAGGGUUUCCUUCGCCGCAGACUCCCGCCUCAAAUGGCGGAAGCGGAAGCGCGAGGCCAACGCUAAGCGCUCCAAGCCCCAGGGCGACUCCGACGACGACGCUGCAGCCGCCGCCGACCCCGUCCUCGACCUCCGCGAGUCCGAAGUCCUCUCCGACUGCGGACACCAGAUUUCCGACUUCCCCCCCGCCGUGCGCCGCGCCGUGAACCGCCCUCACCCCUCCGUCCUCGCCAUCGUCGCCGCCGAGCGCUCCUCCUCCUCCUUCUUCUCCUCGUCCCCUUCCUCUUCCGCCCGAUCUUUGGUUCCGUCCCUUGAGAACAUCUCCCAUGGCCAGCUCCAAGCCCUCUCCGCUAUGCUCCCCGACCACCCUUCCCUUCUCCAACCCCCCGAUGUUGACAAGCCCUCUUCCUACGUGUGCACUCCGCCGCCCCUCAUGGAAGGGAAGGGCGUCCCCAAGCGCUUCCCCACUGGCCAAGUCCUCCUCGUUCCCAUGCACUCCGGUCCGUCUCCUCCCCUCUCCUUUCUCAAGAAUUUUUCCUUUAUGACCUAAAGUUCCCAUCUUUGCCGUCUUACAGAUUGGUUCUCCCCGACAACUGUCUACCGGCUGGAGCGGCAGGUGGUGCCGCACUUCUUCUCAGGGAAGUCCAGUGGCCACACCCCGGAGAAGUACAUCAUGCUCCGUAACAAGAUCAUACUGAAGUACCUGGACAAUCCUAGCAGGAGGCUAGGGUUUGCAGAUUGCCAGGGGCUGGUGUCGAGCAACAGCGAGCUCUAUGACCUCAGCCGCAUUGUACGGUUCCUUGACAAUUGGGGGAUCAUUAAUUAUCUUACGACUCUUUCUGUGCAUCGCGGGCUCAGGAUGGCAGCUUCUCUGCUUAGGGAGGAUGGUAGUGGGGAGCUUCAGCUUCUGACGGCCCCAUUGAAGUCUAUUGAUAGUUUGAUGUUGUUUGAUAGGCCAAAGUGCAGCUUGAGAGCAGAGGAUGUUGCUUUGCUAUCUUCUUCUUCGUCUUCUUCUUCUAGUGGGCCUGUGGACUUGGAUGCUGGACUUUGUGAUUUGGAUAGUCGGAUAAGAGAGCGACUAUCGGAACUUUCUUGCAGUUACUGCUCAGAGCCUCUGCCCAACUUACAUUAUCAGUCGCAGAGGGAGGUGGGCAACCUUUGCACUUUUAUGCUUCACCUUCAAAUAAAUAUUUAUACUAGUUAAUGCUGACAUAGUAACAUGGAAAGUUAUUAUCUUUGAUUUCCUUAGUGGCAUUAUGCUCUUGUCAGAUAUGUUUGAGUGUCUAUAAUUGUUAUAUUUAGAUGAUGUAGCUGAUUCCAUGUUGAGUAUCGCCCAGCCACCCACCAUUGUUUAUUCUCUCCUCCCAUUGUUUUCCAUAUAAUUACUUCGUAAGGCAAUUCCUUUACCCUGUUUCACCUCUUCUUUGAUGCUUCCAGUUCUUCCUUUUGAACCCUCUGCACUUAGCAUUCUUUUAAACCUUAGGAAGUAAUGGAUUCUCUUACACAAUUUGAUAUAAUCAUAGAGUGGUUGUGCAUUUUCUUUAUUCUUUGAUUGUCCACAAUUAGCACAUCAUAAUAUGCUUCUUUUCGACUGUACGAACAGGCGGAUAUCGUCCUUUGCUCCGAUUGCUUCCAUGAUGCGAAAUAUAUUACUGGGCACUCAAGUUUAGAUUUUGUGAGAGUGGAUACAAAGAGAGACACAUCAGAUUCUGACGGGGAUAACUGGACUGAUCAGGAAACAUUGCUGCUACUAGAGGCCUUAGAAAAGUAUAAUGAUAACUGGAAUGAAAUUGCUGAACACGUCGGCACCAAGUCAAAGGCACAAUGUAUACUUCAUUUUAUUCGUCUUCCAAUGGAGGAUGGUUUGUUGGAGAACAUUGGAUUUCGACAGUUGCCUGUCCCUUCGAAAGGACAACAUAGAGAAAAUCUGUCCACAAUUUCUAAUAGUGAUACCUCAGGUUAUUAGGCUUUCUUCAUCUUAGCAAGCUGAUCGACUUUGCUUUUCAUCUGUGCUAGUUCUUUAUCACUUAUUCUCUCUUAUCAAUUUUCAGGUGUUCAUUCAGGGAACCAACUUCCUUUUGCUGAUUCUGCUAAUCCAGUAAUGUCCCUGGUGAGUAAUUAUGAUAGCGCGUUAUCAUUUUGUUUUUUUCCAUUUAGAAAAUGAGUUAAGGAUAUAAUUAUAUGCAAAUAUCAACACAGAUAAGUGAUGCAUUCUUGAAUCAACUAUACUUAGGCUUAUGACAAUACUUGGUGCAUCUUUGUCGAAACUAAACUAAGCUGAAAAAAAUGAUAUGUCAGCCUCUCAUUCUUCAUUGUUUGGGAUAUGAAAAAAAAAGAAGAAAAAAAGUGCUUUACGGACUGCAGUUAGCAAUAAUCUUUUUGUGGACGUUAGGAAAUCAAUCCAGGUUAAUGACUAGCGGACCUCAAAAGUAAAUGACAUAAGGCCAAGUAAACAUCCCGGAUAAUGACUGAUUACUCAGGUUAAGGUACAGAAACUACCUGAAAAGGUUAACAAGAUGUUUGCUUUUCUAAGUAUUAAGUAGUCUAAAUGCUGCCAAUGAGAAACUUUACGGUUCUACCUGCCACAUGCCGACUUAACUGCGCCAGUUACUUCGACUGAUGUUGGAAUAUCUGUAGUGAAAUUUGGGCAGUUGAAGACACUUAUUUAUUACAGAGUCUACGCAGCUUAACCUUCUGGUCUACUCUAUAAUUCUAUUACAUAACAUAAUAGGGUUGUCAAAACUGAAAGAACAAUGUAGCUUUAAUUAAAUAUAUGUGUCUUUCUUAGAGGUGAAACCAACAUCAUGUCUUGCCAUAUUCUUAUGAUUUCUCAGAGAUAAUGCAGCAUACAUCUGACAUUGGUGACACACUAACAGUGUGUGUGAAGUAGUGAACUAUGUCAUGCUAUUGGAAGCUUUUGUUCAGUAGAUCACGUACAUCUGCCCUAUGAAUCUGAAGUUGCAUUUCAGUCAUAUAGGUGGUUUUUAAAAGUUUGCUGCUUAAUGUUUUCAGCUGAGUCUUUUUAAUUGGAUCUUCGGGUGGAAGGUCAAUAAUCAAUAGCUUGUGCGAUUUGAAUACUUUUCCCGUUUUACAUUAAAGAGGAGUUUCGCAGGUUGCCUUUUUGACCUCUGCAAUUGGACCAAGAGUUGCUGCAGCUUGUGCAAAUGCUGCAUUAUCUGUGCUGACUAAAGGUGAUUCCAGGUUAGAUAAAUUCUUCUACUGAUGGCAGAGUAUUGCAAUAUAUUCCUAUGGUUGAUUUCUUCCUCUGAAUUCAUGUUAAAGUUACUUGUGUUUAUAAAUACUGCAUAUCAAGAUUCUGCAGUAUCACUCUAUCUCUUACACUUCCACACCCUUUUUUUGUUCAUUUUGAUUUUUUUUUUGUAGUAAAUUCUUCAUAAACUUGACAGUUGUAGUUUUAUGCGGAGAGUGUUCUUUGUAAACCAUUCCUGUACUUGAGUUUUCAAUGAAGGGAAUAAUCGUUUUCUUCAUCAUUGUAAAUUAAGGUCGAGCUCUGAGAGCAAUCAUGCGGAAGCUGUUACUCAUGGGGCUAACGCAAAUUCAUGCAAUCAGAAUGGUAAUUGCUGUUUCUAAUUUCUUCAUUGGUUUUCCACACCACAAGAUUUCUUUUUAUUUUUCAAGUGUUCUUUUAUCUGAUCUCAGAUGGAAAUCCAGAAGAUCAAAUACCUUAUUCUAGAGGAGAUGCCAAUUCUCCUCUUUCUCUGGAACGUGUAAAAUACGCAGCAAUGUGUGGUCUAUCUGCAGCUGCUAUGAAGGCGAAACUGUUUGCAGACCAAGAAGAGCGUGAAAUUCAGAGACUGGCCGCGACUAUUAUAAAUCAUCAGGUUUUGUAUCCUACCUACUGACUUUCAGAGGAAAGAUCAUUUCUCAUAUACUGAAUUUGUUUGGCAUAUUAUUAGUAUCUAUCAGUUUGGAUAAUUAUUUAUCACAAAUUCUACAGAAAUCUUAAUUCUAAUAUUUAUCGCCUUUAUAUGGUAGAUACAAAUGACCAAAUGACUUGAAUAAUGCACAAUAGAUAAUGAACAAAUGGAGGAAAUUCUUGGAAUAAAAUACCUACCUCUCUUGGCAAUCCAGCUUUCUCUUUCGGCAGUAAACUUUUCACCUUCUACCAAUAUAUUUGAAAUUUGCUUCUCUAUAGAAAUAUUUGCUUAUUAUACCCAUAAUAUUCGUGCUUAGAAUCUUUAUUCAAUUGAUUUGACAUUUUAGGCCUAUAAUCAGUAUUAUCUUCCUUUUUUUUCCCCCUUUUUCCACAAAAGUAUGAACUCUAGUUAGGAGGUAAUCUAUUACUAAGCAUCAUCGACAAGUUGGUUUCUAUGGGAACUUUUUUAAUUAUGACUGUGCUAUCUACUUCAAGCACAUGGAGUAAAAGAGGUUCUAAGCUAUAAAUGAUUAUUAAUUCCAAUUUCACAUCAUCUAUGAUGGUGUCUAAUCACUGUCUCUAAACCAUAUGCAGUUAAAGAGGUUGGAGUUAAAGCUGAAGCAGUUUGCUGAGGUGGAAACCCUGCUGCUGAAGGAAUGCGAUCAGGUAGAGAGAGUGAGGCAAAGGCUUUCUGCUGAACGGGUGCGAAUGAUGUCAGCCCGCUCUGGAUUUCCAGGAAGCGCUUUUCCACCACAACAACCAGCAGCAGCUGCGGCAGCAGCAGGUGCUGCAAAUUCAAAUCCUAAUCCUCAUCCUCGACAGCCACCUAUACCCGGUUCAGUCGGACCGACUAACAUUCCAAAUCCUUAUGGCAAUAAUCUAGCUGGACAUUCUCCAAUCCAAUUCAUGCAGCGACAACAAAUGCUUUCUUUCGGACCCCGCUUACCUCUCUCGGCAAUCCAGCCAUCGCCCUCGGCCUCUUCACCCAAUGUUAUGUUUAAUUCCGGCAUGCCUGCUAAUUCCAUGAACCCUAAUCACCAUCCACUAUUGAGAUCUGCAUCUGGGAACAAUUCAAAUGUUAGUUAGCAUGAAAGAACUGUUGAAUUGUAUUAAAUUUUUUUAGUGGCCCAUUUGUAAUGUAAUUGCACCAUAGUUGGUGAUUUUAGAAAUAUAAUUAGUUGGAAGUUUGUAACCAUGUUCUUUUGGUUAUCUAGGUAGAAAAAUUAGAUGAGCAACUUGAUGGUGCACUUUUAUGGCUGGGCAGUUGAGAAAGUUUUACAAUAAUGUCACAGGUGAUUGAUAAAGUGAUAGAUCCCUAAAUAAAACAGCUCAUUGUAGCUCAUUUCAAGAUCAAGCAGGGAUUGAUACUUAAAUUAUUAAUAGGAAGAAAAGAAAAAAGAAAGAGCCCAACUUACCGGGGUGGCUUGCUGUGGCUUAUUUCUGGCCACAUGAUGAGCCAACUAAAUCAUGUGGGGUUCAACUACUUGAACAGUUGAACAAUAAUAAUUGUUGCUUAUUUCAUAGGCAAUAUAUAUAUAUAUAUAUAUAUAUAUAUAUAUUUUAAUCCUGGAUCUAACCUGAGAUGGUGAUUUAGUUGUUCUUUGAUUGAACUUGCUCAGGGAAAAAUUUGUGUGUGGACCAUCGCAUUAGAAUGCAUGACAAACUAGUGCCUUAAGAACAUUAAUGAGGUUAACGUGGCAGAAACCAAGUUGGUCGUACUACCUAAAACGGAGAGUAAUAGAAUUCAAAUCCAAGGUGUGUAAAACAACUCCAUACAUAUUUUUCUACUGUUAAAAUCGAUGUUUAAUCCACAGUUUGGAUUUUGCUGAACCACAAAAAAAAAAAAAGAAUUACUUACAGUAGAAUAAAUGACCACUAUAGCAUAAAAAUGACCUUAUGCCAUAAUCUCAUGAAAAACAGUUUAUAAAUUUGAAUUUCUAGCAUGCUUAAUAGUCUUCAAUUUAAACUUCUGUAUGUCCUAGAUUGGAAGUGCAUUGCUAAAAGUGGUUCAUUUUGAUUCUUUAGAAAGUUCAAAAAAUUUCGAAAUAGCUUUGAACUUCUCACUUGAGAUAUAAUAAAAUCACGACGAUGCGAACCGUUACAAAAAUACAUUUCUUGUAACAAUUUUUACCACUUACAUAUAAAAUUGAGAAAGAAAAGUUUAAAGUGCUUUGAUAUUUAAUGGAUGUUCUAAAAAAUAUAAAGUUGGUACAAUUGCAGAAGAUGAGUACUAUAUGAUUUAUAUUUAAGCUUAGUGUUUCGAAAAAUGACGAAAUCGAGUGUGUUGGAUUGCGGACCCUUCGUCGUGAUUUGUGAUCUUACAGUCAAAAGAUUAGGGCAACGGAGCUCCACAGCAAAGGUGUAAAAAUAAAGAGGAAAAUGAUGCGACAACGCAAACGCUUUCUAAAAUAAUCAGCCAAAAUCAAUUCUCCUUCUCUGAACAUAUAGCAUCAAAAUAUCCAUCAAAACCACUUCAAUCUCUGUGGGUGUAGGUUGUUAAGGAGACAAAAUCAGGGUGGCACAUGAUUAUGAUUUACUAAUUCACUAGGUUUCACGUAAUUUAAUUAGAUAAAAAAAUAUUAAGAGGAAGGUUUUUGAAUUUACAGUGUGUUCUUAGGGGCCACCACGUUUUUCAAUCAUGCAGUACACUAAAAAAAAAAAAAAAAAGUUUAUGUUGCAGCAGUUAUAGUUAAUAUUUUUUACUGUCUCGCCAAAUAUACCAGAAAAUUUAGGAGAAAUUGAAUACAUCAUAUUUUCUAUUAAAUUUUUUGCAAUUCAUGGGGUCAAAUUGAAUAAUGCUAUACUCGUGGACUAACCAUUGUUCGAGUCAACCAAUCAUUCACUCUCCCCCAAUUAAACACCCUAGAAACUAUAAUUUACUUGGACUAUUUUUUUUAUGAAGAUUUUUUAUCGAUGUUAUUGGAAAACAAUACAAGAGGAUCAGAUCCAAGAAACGUGAAGUUCCUUUUUUUCUUUUUUCUUUUUUUUUGAGAAAACGUGAAGUUCCCAUGUGAUGGAAUAGUAGGUUCUGGUUAUUGUUUUUCGUACGUGUGCGCAUAAUGCCGCGAAAUUUAAAGCUACUCUACUCACGUGUCAUAUUAUCCAAUACAAAAAACUGAAGAGCAAUAUUUUGCAAUACUUUACUUUAUGUGAUUACAACAUUAAGAUCUCAUGACGAACUUAGCGUAGUUGGCUAAAAAUUUAAUAAUUAGGAUUUGAAGUUCUAAAUAUAAAAUUCUAGCUGAGUUUAUUUUUAGAAAAUAAAUAAAACGGGUAAAAAUAUUAACUUAGGUGAUUUGAGUGAUUUUAAUGUGUUUAUGGACCUCUUUUUCAUUAUUAUAAGGUGCCAAUUUAGGUUCCCUUCUCUUGCGUCCUAAGCAUUUAACCCAUGCAAUACCAAUUUUGUAUUUUAUACUAGCUAUAUCAUCAAAAAAAGAAAAACUAUUAUAACUAAAAAAGUGUUUCCAGUUAAAAUUUUACUGAUUUAACCAUUAUUUAAUAAUUGUUUCUUUUUACUGAAUCAGAGCGAAAAUUGAUUUGCAGUCUAACAAGUCCAACCACAACAGUUCAACCAUUUUUUUAACAUUAUUUUUAUAUAAAAACUUUGAAAGAAUUUGCUCUUUAUUAAACAUAAAACUGAAAUGAAAAAUUUUAAAAGGGCUAAGUCGCAGUGUGGAAUGGUACCGGGAUUAUUCACGCAUUGUUGUUAUAUAUCAUUCCUUUUUUAUAAAAUAAAUAUAAAAAAUACUUAACAAAAAGCGGGCUAUGUGUGAAAAAAAAAAAAUUUAGGGGGCCAAAUACAAAAAAAAACCCUACGUAAAAGGAAAAAAGUCCCGAGUCGCAAUAUGCGAGUAGUAUCGGAUUAUCCUCGCAUUUUUCCCUAACUCUUUUCCUCAGCCCUGCUCUUCACUGUUCGAUACCCUCUCUCUCUCUAGAGAGCAUAAGGAAGAGAGAGAGAGAGAGAGAGAGGAAACUGUAAUAAAAGUGUCGAGGAGAGAGAAGGUGAAAGGACGUCCGAAGCCCAUGCGCGCUCUCUCUCUCUCUCUCUCUCUCUACCCUCUUCGUCAUCGUGCCGCAUUGAUGCGGAUUUUUUAGGUAAAUCCACACAGAUCUCACUCAAUUUCAAUGCCUAUAUAAUGAUCUUUUUCGUUUCCCCAAUUUUUUGUGAUCUUUAUUUAGUGUGAAUGCUGACCGAUUCUUUGUGCCAAUGUUGAUCUUUUGCCUUUUGAUUUCUAUCUAAUUUUACUGUUAUUUUUGCUGUUUGUCGGUGAUCUUUGAGAUCGCGUUUUGAGUGGAUUCACAUUUUGUAUGUAGGUGGAGAUCUGAUGUGAUUCGCACUCUGAUCUUGGUUUUCUGAUCUGAUAGUUAGUGAUCCGAUCUAUCUCACAAUAGGGUUUAUAGGUCUGAUCCGUGAGCUUCGUUGGAUAAUUUGCGAGGAGGAGGAAGAGGAAUUAACGUUCUGCUCUCAAAGUUUAGCUAUUUCCAUUAUCUUUGGAGGGUAAGGUUUAUGCAGAUUUAUCCUGUUUCAAUCUAUCCUAUAAUUUGGUAAACUAAAAAGUGCUUACUUUUUUCUUGCUCUUGCUCCUUUUCACCAGUCACUUAAUUUUAGGGAUUUAGAUCUGUUAUUUCAUGUCCAAAACUUUCAACAUCGUAGAUAUUUUUGUUGGCAGCUGAAGUAAUAUUUCAUAUUGUUCAGAUAGAUCGUGCUUAUAUGCAGAUACAAACCUGUGGAGGUGAUAAUUAGUAAGCAAUGGCGGAUUUUUCCUCAUCGGAACCACAAGAACCGGCGUCACCUUCUUCUCCAUCAUCUUCUCAUUCACGGUAUCUCACACAUUUAUACAUAUUUACUUCCCAUAUAUAUUACUUAAUAUAUUACUUAAUAUCUAGCGUGUACAAUCACUUCCCAUCUUUGUUUUAACUCUUUGGCAACUGGAUGUAUUUGAUUGUUGGGUAUUAAUGACUCGUAAUUCUCACCUCGGUUUUACAUUUAAUUAGAGAAACAAAUGGAUCGGCGGAAACGGAUGACUCAGAAAGCGCAAUGGCCACCGUCGCUCACUUGUUGGAACAGCUUCAUGCUAGCAUGUCUUCUCCACUCGAGAAAGAGCUUAUAACCACAAGGCUGCUCGCACUAGCAAGAGCAAAAAAGGAAACUAAGGUUUUAAUCGGCAGCCAUUCUCAGGCCAUGCCACUGUUCAUCUCUGUUCUUAGAAGUGGAACUGUAACCGCAAAAGUCAACGUUGCUUUGACCCUCAGUACACUCUGCAAGGAAGAAGACCUACGCGUGAAGGUUCUUCUUGGCGGUUGCAUACCGCCAUUAUUAUCUCUUUUAAAGUCAGAAUCCCUCAAUGCCAAAAAAGCCGCUGCAGAAGCUAUAUUUGAAGUUUCCUCUUCUGGGUUUUCGGACGAUCACAUUGGCAUGAAAAUAUUUGUUACCGAGGGUGUUGUGCCUACUUUAUGGGACCUCCUUAACCCAAAAAAUAGACAGGAUAGAGUAGUUGAGGGUUUUGUCACUGGAGCGCUGAGAAAUCUUUGUGGGGAGAAGGAUGGGUAUUGGAGGGCCACAAUCGAAGCUGGGGGUGUCGAGAUCAUUACUGGUCUUCUUUCUUCAAACAAUACUGCUGCCCAAUCAAAUGCUGCUUCCCUUUUGGCCCGGUUGAUUUCGGCUUUUGGCGAUAGCAUUCCUAAAUUAAUAGAUACAGGAGCCGUAAAAGCCCUUCUUGGCCUUUUGGGUCGAGAUAAUGAUAUUUCUGUGCGCGCGAGUGCUGCUGAUGCUUUGGAAGCCCUUUCAUCGAAGUCCACCAUGGCUAAGAAAACUGUAGUUGAUGCAGGUGGCUUACCUGUUCUGAUCGGAGCUGUUGUGGCUCCUUCAAAGGAGUGUAUGCAAGGGGAGUCUUGCCAUGGUUUACAGAGCCAUGCAGUUCGUGCUCUAGCUAAUAUGUGUGGCGGUAUGACUUCUUUGAUACUUUACCUUGGAGAACUCUCCCAGUCCUCGCGCUUAAAUGCUCCUGUUGCUGAUAUACUUGGUGCCCUUGCUUAUUCACUAAUGGUUUUUGAUGGCGAUGAAGAGAAAGUGUUCGACCCAGUUAAUAUAGAGAAUAUCUUGAUAACACUACUAAAACCGCGGGAUAUUAAGUUGGUUCAGGAUCGUGUUCUUGAGGCUUUGGCCAGCCUCUAUGGCAAUCCUUGUCUAUUCAGCAGGCUUCAUCAUUCUGCUGCAAAAAAGGUUCUAAUUGGGCUUAUUACGAUGGCUUCGGCUGAUGUUCAGGAGCACUUAAUACUAUCCCUCACAAGCUUAUGUUGUGACAACGUUGAUAUAUGGGAUGCUUUAGGGAAGAGAGAGGGAAUUCAUCUGCUUAUUUCUUUGCUCGGGCUUUCGAGUGAGCAGCAUCAGGAGUAUGCUGUUUCUUUGUUGGCAAUUUUAACUGAUCAAGUAGAUGAAAGCAAGUGGGCCGUAACAGCUGCUGGAGGAAUCCCUCCGCUGGUUCAAUUAUUGGAAACCGGGUCGCAGAAAGCAAGGGAAGACGGGGCCCACGUGCUGUGGAACUUGUGCCAUCACAGCGACGACAUUCGUGCGUGUGUUGAGAGUGCUGGGGCCGUCCCCGCCCUUCUAUGGCUUCUAAAGAGCGGCAGUCCCAAAGGUCAAGAGGCUUCUGCAAAAGCACUUAAGAAGCUGAUCCAUUUUGCCGACUCUGCUACCAUCAAUCAGUUACUGGCCUUGCUCCUAAGCGACUCUCUCAGUUCAAAGUCCCAUGUUAUCAAUGUCUUGGGUCAUGUGCUUAUGAUGGCUUCUCAUAAAGACUUGGUGCAGAAGGGAGCUCCUGCCAAUAAAGGUCUUAGGUCUCUUGCCCAAGCCCUUAACUCAUCUAAUGAGGAGACACAAGAGUGUGCUGCAUCAGUUUUAGCUGAUCUAUUUAGUACACGAGAAGAUAUAUGUGAUAGUCUUGCCACUGAUGAGAUUGUCCAUCCAUGCAUGAAGCUCCUGACAAGCAAAACCCAAGUUGUGGCGACACAAUCUGCACGAGCUUUGGGUGCUCUAUCCCGUCCAGCAAAUGCUAAAUCCAAGAAUAAGGUAUCCUACAUUGGUGAGGGGGAUGUUCAACCCCUAAUUAAGAUGGCGAAGACAUCGUCAAUCGAUGCUGCUGAAACUGCGAUUGCUGCGUUGGCGAACCUCCUCUCAGAUCCACAGAUUGCUGGAGAAGCUCUAACCGAAGAAAUUGUCUUGUCCCUAACAAGAGUGCUUAAGGAAGGCACUUUAGAGGGCAAAAUAAGUUCUUCUCGGGCACUUCAUCAACUACUGAACCAUUUCCCACUCUGUGAAGUGCUUCCAGAGUACUCACAGUGUCGCUUCGUAGUUCGUGCUCUUUUGGAUUCUUUAGCUGAAAUGGAUGUUGAAGGUGUUGUAUACUUGGGCCCACUGGAUGUACUUGCCUUAUUGGCUAGCACAAAAGAGAGCGUGAAUUUUGGCUUCCCUCCCUGGAGUGCCCUUGCUGAAGACCCAGAAAGUUUACAGCCUUUGUUUCGGUGUCUGGAUGUUGGGCUUCCUAUUGUGCAAGAAAAGUCGAUCGAAAUUCUCUCAAGGCUAUGCCAGGAAAAACCUUCUCUACUUGGUGAUUUUUUGGUAAGAAGAGAAGGGUGUAUUGUUUCACUUGCUACUAGAGUUAUAGAGUCCUCUAGUAUAGCUGUGAGAAUUGGUGGGGCCGCACUUCUCAUUUGUGCUGUGAAGGAGAAUAGAGUACGUCCAAUCGAUAUUCUUGAUGCAUCAGGGCUUUUGAGGAAGCUGAUCUAUUGUCUGAUUGAUAUGUUGAAACUUCAUUCUACUUCCAGUUCUCCAGAAUCUGAAGUCAGGAAUCCUAGAAAUUAUAUGGAAAGAAAUGCAUUUGAUGAUUCUGACAUUCAUGAUCCAGCAAGAAUUUUGGAAGGAACAAUUGCUCUUUGGUUGCUUGCGAUUGUUUCUUCUUCUCAGGUGGAGAGCAAACUUAUUAUUAUGGAGGCUGGUGGAGUUGAGAUUCUCUCUGAUAGACUUGCAAGAUACACAGCUAAUUCACAGGUAUGAGUUUAUCGCUUUGUGCUUUCUCUUUUUUCUCUUGUUUCAUUUACAUUUUUGGUUGCAGUAAAUGGUCAUUUAUUUUAGGAUGAUUUUGCAAUACCUGCACAAUCAGUCGUAAUUUUUUCCCCACUUAAAUUUGGACAAUUUUGAGAUUUUUGAUAAAUUCUUAUCUAAUUCAGGUUCACUGAUGUAGCUUCCAUAGAUAUAUACAUCAAAUUUAUUCACUGUUACAGCUUCUGUAGAUUAAAUCAGCAUUUCUCAUAUUAAUUAUUGUCUUUACCUCACAAUCUUUUUAGUUUGUAUCUAAUGUGUAAAUGAUUUCUUUAAUAUAGGCGGAAUUUGAAGGGACAGAGGGGAUAUGGCCUAGUGCACUUCUCCUGGCUAUUUUGUUCCAGGAUUCAACAGUUGUUCAAUCUUCAUUGAUAACCCGGACAAUACCAUCUCUAGUUUUCUUGCUGAAGUCGGAUGACAUCAUUGAUAGAUACUUUGCUGCUCAGGUGAUGGCUAGCCUUGUUUGUGUAGGAAAUAAAGGAAUACAGCUUGCUAUUGCAAAUUCCGGUGCUGUUGGGGGCAUAAUAUCAUUAAUCGGGCAGAUAGAAUCUGAUAUGCCUAACCUUGCUGCUUUAUCUGAAGAACUAAAAUUAGCACAAAAUCCAGGCCAAGUAAUUAUGGAAAAUCUCUUCAAGCUUGAGGAAGUGAGAACAGGUGCUACCGCGCGCAAGUCCUUACCUUUACUUGUGGACCUUCUUAGACCGAUGCCUGAUAGACCAGGUGCCCCGUUAAUCGCGCUACACCUUCUGACACACCUAGCAGAAGGUAGUGAAACAAAUAAAGUAGUAAUGGCAGAAGCUGGCGCUGUGGAUGCUUUAACAAAAUACCUCUCUUUGAGCCCUCAAGACUCAACCGAAACUACUAUAACUGAUCUGUUAUGGAUCCUGUACAGCAAUUCUGAACUCCUUCACAGUGAAGCUUCUCUCAGCACUUUGAAUCAGCUAAUUGCUGUUUUAAGAAUGGGCUCAAGAAAUGCUAGGCUUAGUGCGGCGAGGACUUUGAAGGAGCUUUUCAAUUCGGAGAAUAUACGAGAAACUGAAAUGGCUAGACAAGCUAUUCAACCAUUAGUCGACAUGCUGAAUUCAGGAAAUGAAAAGGAACAAGAGGCUGCACUCAGUGCAUUGAUCAAACUCACAGAUGGAAAUAUUUCGAAGGCCUCAGCAUUGACCGAUGUUGAAGGUAACCCAAUUGAAACUCUCCACAAGAUUUUGUCAUUCAGUUCGUCUUUGGCCCUGAAAAGAGAUGCUGCCCAACUUUGCUAUGUUCUAUUUGGAAAUUCGAGUGUGAGGACAGCACCAAUUGCCACAGAAUGUAUACAACCCUUAAUAUCACUAAUGACAUCGGAUUCGAGCUUGGUUGUAGAGCCUUCUGUUUGUGCUCUAGAGAGGCUGCUUGAUGAUGAACACCAUGCAGAUAUAGCGGCUACUUAUGAAGUUAUAACUCUUCUUGUUAGCUUUGUUUCGAAGAUGAAUCAUAACUUAUCAGAGCCCAGUAUAAGUGCCCUAAUAAAGCUAGGGAAGGAUCGUCCGCACUGCAAACUUGACAUGGUGAAGGCUGGAGUUAUCGAUAAUGCCCUGAAUAUGAUCCUUGAUGCUCCUGUGUCUCUUAGCUCUUCAAUCAUAGAGCUUCUUCGAAUUCUAACUAAUAAUAGCAGCAUUGCAAAAAGUUCGGCUGCUGCAGGAAUGGUAGAGCCUCUGUUCUUGGUUCUCCAGAGACCAGACAUUCCCAUGUGGGGGCAGCACAGCGCAUUAGAAGCACUUGUAAAUAUUCUGGAAAAGCCCCAAAGUUUGGCGAAUUUGAAAUUAAGUCCUAGCCAAGUCAUCAAGCCUUUGAUUUCAUUUCUUGAAUCCCCAUCUCAAGCAAUUCAGCAGCUUGGCACCGAAGUACUAUUGCAUCUUCUUGAACAAGAGCAUUUCCAACAGGAUAUUACAACCAAACAUGCCGUAGUUCCUCUCGUGCAGCUCGCGGGGAUCGGUAUCUUGAGCCUACAGCAAAUGGCGAUCAAAGCGCUUGAGAGCAUUUCGAUGAGCUGGCCAAAGGCUGUAGCUGAGGCAGGGGGCAUUUUUGAACUCUCAAAGGUGAUUGUCCAGGAUGAUCCCCAGCCCAGCCAUGCAUUAUGGGAGUCUGCAGCACUUGUUCUAUCCAACGUUAUGCGGUCUUAUUCCGAAAAUUAUUUUGAAGUUUCGAUGGUGGUGCUCGUGAAAUUGCUGAAUUCCACGGCAGAGAGCACUGUUAACAUAGCUCUCGGUGCCCUCCUUGUUCAAGAGAGGAAUAGUAAGAGCAGUGCUAUAUCAAUGGCCGAGGCAGGUGCGAUCGAUGCACUGUUAGAGCUUUUAAGAUCUCGUCAGUGUGAGGAAGCUUCUGCAAGAUUGCUCGAAGCACUUUUUAACAAUGGGAGGGUGCGAGAAAUGAAGGUUGCAAAAUACGCGAUCGCCCCCCUUUCACAAUACUUAUUAGAUCCACAGUCCAGGUCGCCACCAGCUAAGUUUCUGGUGACUCUCGCGCUAGGCAACCUUUUCCAGCAUGAUUCACUUGCUAGGUCAAGUGAUGCUGUCUCUGCAUGCCGUGCUUUGAUAAGCCUGCUUGAGGAUCAACCCACAGAAGAGAUGACUGUGGUGGCAAUCUGUGCUUUACAGAGUUUGGUUAUGCACAGUAGAACAAAUAGGCGGGCGGUAGCAGAAGCUGGUGGAAUUCUGGUCGUACAGGAAUUGCUUUUGUCUUCCAAUGUGGAAGUUUCUGGGCAGGCUGCAUUGUUGAUCAAGUAUCUAUUUUCAAAUCAUACACUUCAAGAGUAUGUAUCAAACGAGCUCAUCAGGUCUCUCACCGGUAAGUCCAUAUUUAUGUCUACCCAGGCAGAGCCAACUUACUGCCUCUCUUAUUUGUUCAAGUACACUCAUAACUGAAUCGAGUCUCAAGAUUUGUCUUGAGCUCAGCUUGUUUUACUAUAACCAAGUUGAGCUCAAACCAAAGUAUGUUCAUUAACAGCUGGGGUUUUUUUGCAGUCCUAAGUGAAAACUUAUUUUUCAUGAUAAUACGACAUUUGUUGCGUAAUUAUCACUUUAUAUUAUCAUAUAACUGUAACGGAAGAUUUAUAUCUGUCUACAUUGACCUUCUUAAUCUUUAUUAGAGGGAUGCUUUGGUCGUUCUCACUUUUUGGUCCUUUUGCUGCACAUUUGCUGCACACAACUAUUGCAUGUUUAUUGGCUCCAUAUGGAUGAAAACCAUUCAGUUCUUAUUUAUGUCCCCUAGUUCUUUGUUUUUUGUCUUGUACUCUAUUAUAUUUGUAUCUUCCUGCUUCCCAAACUCAUGUUCCCGUGCUUCAGUUUUGGUUGCUUAGCUCAUUGUUUACCUACUGGUAAAUUAAGGUUUUCUUUUCAUUUCUUCUCAUAGUACAUGGCUAGUCCGGUGGGUAACUUGAAUCUUUAAUUGCAAAAUUUAAACAAUGGUUAUACCCUUAUUGGUUUUCUGUUCACGGGGUGAUUUCUUUCUCUAUUUGAUGGUCCAACCUGCUGGAGUUCUUUUUCUUCUAAUAACUUGGAUACCAUAAGAAACAUUAGAAUCACCACAUGCCAAGGUGAAGAACAUAAAGAACACGCUGUAUGAAGAUUGUUCUAAAUCUGUUGAAUGUAUGCUUGUAUAUUGGUUAUUUUAGUGUUUAUUCUUUAUUUUAGUUCAUAUACUAUAUUUAGUACUUCUACUCAUUCAGCUAGUGCUAAAGUACCAAUUUGCUGCAGCUGCUCUGGAGAAAGAGCUGUGGUCCACAGCAACCAUCAAUGAAGAGGUGCUGAAAACCAUUUACGUGAUAUUCACUAACUUCAAGAAACUCCGCACUUCUGAAGCGGCAACGCUGUGCAUCCCGCAUCUAGUGGGUGCUUUGAAAUCCGGAAACGAGCCUGCUCAGGAGACCGUACUCGACACCCUCUGCUUAUUAAAAGAAUCAUGGUCACAGAUGAAUGAAGACAUUGCCAAAGCCCAAGCCUUAAUUGCUGCUGAAGCUAUACCCAUUCUUCAAAUGCUUAUGAAAACCUGCCCGCCCAGCUUUCAUGAAAGAGCCGAUAGCUUGUUACACUGCUUGCCCGGAUGCUUGACUGUGACCAUUAAACGCGGGAACAACUUGAAGCAGACCAUGGGAAGCACGAACGCUUUUUGUUGCCUAAAAAUAGGAAACGGUCCUCCGAGACAGACCAAGGUAGGCUAUAUUCUUUGUGGAACCCCAAAAAUUUCAAAUCGAGCAGUUGGGAAAUUAAAAGUUUGGAGUUUUUGCUGUGGGGUGAAGCUGAAAUAAGUUUCAGGGCCCAAGAGUAGCGUUGAUUUGAAACUCUACUUCUGCUGCAGUGGAAAGCUGUGGAAGAGAUUAAGAAAAAAGCUAUUAUUGCUUUUCCAAAACACCGUUAAUUGCCAAAUGAACCAUGACAAUCUCUUAGAGUUGUGUUUUACCUGCUUACUAUGAUAUGCGAUUCUCAGGUGGUGAACCACAGCACGUGUCCAGAAUGGAAGGAGGGUUUUACUUGGGCGUUUGAUGUUCCCCCGAAAGGGCAGAAGCUUUAUAUUCUCUGUAAAAGCAAAAAUACAUUUGGAAAGGUAUGCAUAUUUGUUAUUCUCUCUCCUAUGGGGUUCUUAGUUCAUGAUUUCAUUAUCUAACUGAGAUUUACUGAUUACAUUUUAGUCAACCCUCGGGCGAGUUACCAUACAAAUAGACAAAGUUGUGACUGAAGGAAUAUACAGUGGAUUCUUCAGCCUCAGCCACGAUGGUCGGAAGGAUGGAUCACGGACACUCGAGAUUGAGAUUGUAUGGUCAAAUAGGACAUCAAACGAUGGCAUCUAAGAUUGUUCAGUGGUAAAAAUCUAUCCAAAAGCCUUCAUAAAACCAAGCAUGAAGAGCAAGCUAAAAGAAGCGCUCUUAACGUAUCAUGUAUCAGUUUGUUCUGCAUGAAUGAUGUCUAGUAUUGCGGUAGCAAGUGGAAGACUGACUGGCCCGAGAAGCUAGGAAGAAUAUCCAGCCUGGUUAUCACCAGAGUCUGUAGGUUUAUCAAUGGUGAGAUUAUUCUGAAGGCUGCUGAUUAGUUUCUAGAGUUGAUUGUUGCUGUACAAACUGAGAUUAUCCUGAAGGCUGCUGAUUAGUUUCUAGAGCUGAUUGUUGCUGUUAAAGUUUGUACAGGUAAGAUUUUGCUUCUCUCCUUUGUAAUUAGCAUAAGCUUGUGAUCAUUUUAAGAGGAUCAUCAUGGAAUGUGGAGGAUGGUAAUACCUUAGUAUACCACCAUUACUCUUUUAUGAUUCUUUAGACAUAUUUUACUUGCUGUAAUCUAGUGGAUAAGACGUAUUACGAUCUAUUUUUUCAUCAACAAAAACUUAGCAUAUAUUGUCACAAUCUCCUGUUGCCAUUCGCGAAAUACUUAUUGUGGUACAAAAAGUCGAGAAAUCACAUCUCGUAGGAGAUGAACCCUAAGGAGAGGAUCAAUAGUACAUGACAUAAAAUAGAUUAUCGCACUAUUAGUGGCUCUAUAAUUCAAGGCCAACCUUUGCAUACUUGUGUUUAAGAACCUACGAGUAGGGUUGUUUUUGUAAAUUUCUCUCUAUAGAUGUACCAUAUUAUUCGGCACAAUAUUUCUGCUUUGACAGUGCUGGAGACUAGAGAGUGCUGGAGACUGGACAGUGCUUGGUUCUAUCAAAUUUUCGAUCGUUUGAUGAAAAAAUAUGUGGUUUGAAUGAUAAUAGUCUCUUAGGGUUGAGUAGAUGGUUGGUUGAAUAAUAUAAUCUAACGAGUGAAAAUGAUUAAAGGACAGAUCGAGUGGUAAAAAAUUCGAUAGUAUCAUUGGAGGGUGGUUGAUUGAAUAGUAUAAUCUAACGAGUGAAAUGAUCAAAAGAUAGAUCGAGUGGCAAAAAAUUCGAUAGUACCAAAAGCUUGGUAUAUAUCCUCUGCAAAGAGAACUGUUAAUGAUUUUUUAGAAGGGCAAUGAUAAGAGUUAUUGAGUGCAGGUUUUAAGUUUUAAGCCCAAAAAAGAAGCUUAGACGGUAAGAAAAACUCAAGUGCCCGCAACGAAGACCAGCACAGAAGACGCUGUCAAGGUGAAUCAAGUGUUAGUUUUAUUUGUAACUUCGAGGAAGCUCAUAUUCGUAGAAAGAGAAUAUGAAUUAAUUAGAGAGAACGAAUUUCAAAAAAUAUAGAAACUAAAAAUAGAGAGGAAGAAUCCACGAGGAAAAAAAAACUAGAAUCAAACAAAAGGGUAGGCGAAGUUUGGGAUAAGGUCCUGUUAUGCCCCUCUCUCUCACUCGCUCUCUCUCUCUCUCUCUCCUAUAAUAAGUUAAGCGGCAACAGCCGCAACUGCUAUACCCCAAAUACUUACGGAUGACAACCAAAAUCAGACCAACUGCGCCUAGAGCAAGUCGCAAAAGAUUUGGUGGUUGAUAUCCGAUAUCCAAGUUUGAAUUCUAGUUAAUUUAUAUUUCUAGCUAAGUUUAUUUCUAAAUAAAAUAAACAAAGCGGGUAACGUGCUAUCUAUCUCUAUAAAAAAAAAAAAAAUCAAAAUGGGCCUACCAAUCUAACGAAGCUGAUUAUUUUUAUAUCAGAUUAACGCUCCAUGCAUGGCAUGCAUAUUAAAAUUCUGUGCACUAACUACUAAAAAAUUAUGCGUAUUCACGAAAAUAAAUAUAUUCUGUACAGUAACUACCAAAACUAUGCGUAUGCAUGAAAAUGUGGGAAGUCUAGAAGUCCUCACAAGUCGUAACGUAAGCGCGUCAUCCAACAGCAGUGGGGCCCGGCGGCUGCUCCCUCUCCCUCUCCCUACGCGGUGUCUGGAAUCACACAACCGCCACACGGUGGCAACAGUUGCGAAUUGACUUGACUUUCCUUUUACCAUUUCGAACCAAUAUAUUUUUGUUUUCUUUUUCAUUUUCUCGUGUCACAUAAUAUAGCUCGGUAUGCCUGUGACAGAAACGGUAAAUAAUCGAAUAUUUAUGAAUAAUUAAAAAAAAAAGUUGUUCAGACAAAUUUUAUAUUGAGAAAUUUUAGCGCAAGUCGGAAAGCUGCAUAGUCGCCCCUCCUCCUCUUCGUCGUCCUCGUCUUCCACAUCCAUCUCUCCUGCGUCUUCUCAGAGCCCGAUAAUGGUCGGGGCGAAGCGAGGGGCGGCGCUAAUGGUGGCGCUCUUGAUCGCGGCCACCAUCCUCGCCGCGACCCCGCCCUGCUCCGCGGCGGCGCCGGCGAAGAAGAAGAAGACGAAGGCUCCGACGCCGCAGCGGGAGAGCGGCGCCCGCGGUGGUCCCUCCUCCGCCGUGUUCCCCCUCUAUGGCGACGUCUAUCCCCGCGGGUGAGUGAGCAAGGGUGAAGGCCCCUCGAUUGAUUUCGAAUCCUAAUGGGCUCUGAUUUAUCGAUGUUGUCGUGUUUGGAUCUUGUAGUCUCUUCUACGUUUCGAUUAACAUCGGGGAUCCGCCGAAACCGUACUUCUUGGACGUGGACACCGGAAGCCACCUCACCUGGCUCCAGUGCGACGCCCCCUGCGUGAGCUGCUCCCCGGUAAGAUCGCCUCCCCCAAAUCCUUCUCCCAAUCCCAAACCCUAGCGAUCUCUCUUUCCAAUCCCUAAUUCCUUCCAAGAAUCAUCUCACUUUGGCGGCGCGAAUCCCAGGGGCCGCAUCCGCUCUACAAGCCGGCGAAGACGAAGCUGGUGCCCUGUGGCGACCCCCUCUGCGCCGCCCUCCAGGCCGCCGCCACGGUGGCCGGCGGCGGCGGCUGCGGCGGCGGCUCGGCGGAGCAGUGCGACUACGAGAUCGAGUACGCCGACCAUGGCUCCUCGCUCGGCGUGCUCGUCUCCGACGCCUUCUCCCUCCGCCUCGCCAACACCUCCCUCGCCCGCCCCAACCUCGUCUUCGGGUGCGCCCUCCAUAUCCCUCUCUUGUGAUCGGCAAAAUCUCGCCGAUUUCUGCUAAAGGGGUAAAUGCAUGUGUAUCCCUGUAAAUUUUGAAUUUACGGAUAUAAUAUUCUUUUAUAUCACUAUAAACUUUUAUACUUGCAUUUGUUAGUAGUUUUUUAGUGUUAAAAUCGUUAGGCUUUUAAAUAAUAUUGUUAGAAUUUUAUUUUAUCACAUUAGAGGUAAAAUGAGAUGAUAUUGGAGAUCGUAAAUAAAAUUCAAAGUAUUUGAAUAGAUGUUUCCAGGAAUAGUAUCACCAUUUUCGGAGAAAAACGCAGCAGUCUUACUACUUGGAGAAAUUUAUUUAGUAAUCUACAAAUUAUACAAAUUCUCCAAAAACCUGCAAUUUCUUCAACAUUCUACUCGGAGGAUUAUAUUUAGUGCUAUUGUUUUCUUCAAAAAUCUACAAAUUCAACAAAUACGAAUGAGUUUUUUUUUUUUUUUAUAACCGAAUCAUUUGAGGAUCAAACCAUAAGUGGCUGUAUCAUGGUGUGACUAGUAGGUAAUUUUCCAGUAAUAAAAAUCGGUGGUUAGUUAUUCAGCUCAUGGUGGUGUAAGGUUCUUUCUUGUUCGAUGGGCAGGUGUGGGUACGACCAGCAGUCGGUGAGUUCGAAUUCGCCGGCACCAACAGACGGCGUGCUGGGGCUUGGGAAUGGAAAGACGAGCUUGCCUACUCAGCUGAAGGAGAAAGGCAUCACUCGCAGCGUGGUGGGCCACUGCCUCAGCAGCAAUGGGGGUGGCUUCCUCUUCUUCGGGGACGAUCUUGUGCCCUACUCUCAUGCCUCGUGGACUCCCAUGUCUCGCAGCACAUACCGGUGAGAGCCCCUCCUUUCCAUUCACUUCUCUGUUAUUCGCAGGUUCUGGGUAAAAUUAGUGGGGUUAAUUGCAUCUCAGGGUUGGUUGCAUCAUAGUUUGGUCCCAAAGUUCUAUAAUUAGACUUUGUGUUUGGUAGGUAUUCAAAAUUAAUUCGGCUGGAAAUUGACGGAAUAGUUUGGUGUUAAUGCUAGAGACUUAAUCAAAAUAACUUAACAAAUAUUAGGAAUCAGUAGUACAAAUUAAAGGUAAUGGGGAUAAUUGAGAAGUCCGAAAAUUUUGCAGCUAAAUUGAACAGGGAGGCCCACAUUAUCAACUUAACCAUAAUCGAGUAAUGGCGCACAUUAUCAACCUAUGAUAAUUGCUGUAGUUCAAAAGUUAUUUUUCUGAAUUGAAGUUCAAUAGUUAAGUAUGCAACAUAUUGAAUACCAACAUAUUGGAUGUUUGCCCAAUUUGAUAGAAAAUUUCAAUUCAACGAAUAAAAUUGGAAUGAAAAUUUGAAAGCUAAAGACCCUAACUGUAAGUCUGUAACAAGGUAAAAUUGUUAGAUCUUACCUAAGCUUAUUUGUGCUGCAUUAGUUGGUUAACUUUGAACUUGGUCCAGGAAAUAUUAUUCUCCAGGGUCUGCAAAUCUUUUGUACGAUGCUCGAUCCCUCGGGGUGAAGCAAAUGGAGGCGGUCUUUGAUAGUGGCAGCUCCUACACCUACUUUGGACUUCAGCCAUACCAAGCUCUCAUCUCCAAGGUACAAGUCAGAAACUCUGAAUUAUCUUUUCGAAUAUGGACAGCUGCUGGUGUUUUGGGUUAUUGUAUUUUGAUCCAUAUACUUUUUAUUUAGGGUUUAAUAUAGUCUGUGAGGUUUGGCCUGGGUAUGAAUUUUGUCCCCAGUUUAAGUUGCGACAGUGUAGUUCUUACUGUUUGACUUUGAGAAGAUUAGUUCGAGGUUUAAUAAUAUAGUCAAUAGAGCUUGGCUCCGAUUUCAUUUUCGGUGCACAAAGUAUGAAUUUUUAACUUGCAAGUCUUAGAUAAUGCUGAUGUCGCACUAUUUCACCUCCCCUCCUGGUGACAUUGUUUACUUGGGAAAGAUAGAGGGGCUGAAUGCCUCUGUCGCAAGUGUCACACUUAGAUUUUUGCAUCUUAAUGUUAAGACAUAGUUUGCAUGUCGGACAGCUCAAGAAUGAUCUAAGCAAGACGCCGUUGAAAGAAGCAACCAACGACCACACACUACCGUUGUGCUGGAAAGGCGCGAAGCCCUUCAAAUCUGUGCAAGACGUCAAGAAGUACUUCAAGACGUUGGCUCUGAGCUUUGUUAACACGAAGAAAGCCGUGCUGGAGAUACCCCCGGAAAACUACUUGAUUAUCAACGUAAGUACUUAUUUAUUUUGACUGCUAAACAAGCAGCUUGUAGCUUUGGGACUGAUUAUCUUCCUGUUGUGAAUGGUGCCAGAAAUAUGGGAACGCUUGCUUGGCCAUUCUCAAUGGAGCAGAAGUAGGGCUGAAGGAUCUCAAUGUCAUUGGAGGUACAGUAAAAUUUUUUAAAACAUAAGCCAUUGCGAACCAGAAAAUGGAUACGUAAUUUAACUAGUUUGUUUUGAGAAAAUUGUCGAAGCCUCUAAAUUUGUACUACCAUUUUGAUGAAAUAUUAUAUAACUUAAUAGAGUACAGCUAGGGGUGUAAUGUGGGCCGUGCCGGGCUGGCACGGCCCACAUUACCCGGGCCGAUUCGGACCCAGGGUCGGCCCGGUCCGUUUAUUAGAGGGAAAGGCCCGGUCCAGCCCCCUGGCCCGCCCAGCCCGGGCCGGGCCUCGUGCCAGCCCAGUAAUAGGGCUUUUGCCCUUCUUCUUUGUCCUUUUUUGUAUUUUUUUUUUAAUUUUUUUUUGAAGAAAAAGAGAUAAGUAGUUAUGUAAUAUGAUCAAUUCAAAAUUUAUCAUUAUGUAAUAUGAUUAAGCCCGGCUUAAGUGCCGUUGGGCCCAUCUUCCAAGGUUACGGGGCUACGGUAGCCCUACAGACUACACUCUUCUAUAGGUAGGUCCAUAGGAUUUAGGGCAGGUCCAUAUUGUGAUCCCUGUUGUUCUAUAGCCCAUAGACAUGGCCUAUGGGAUUUAAACCACCGGGCCGUGCCGGGCUGCGGGCCGGCCUCCGGCCCGGCACAGCCCAGUCCCAGACCCGACACGGGCCGUGCCGGGCCUGCAGGCCGCAAAACUCAGCCCGGCACGGCCUGGAGUGCCAGGCCGGGCCGGCCCGGAGUGCCGCCCGGCCCGUUUUACAUCCCUAUUAAAUGGAAUAUGUUGAGUCUCUUUCCAGAAAAUUUUCUCAAAUAAAACAAACUUAGUUUAGAGGUUAAAACAAAUAACCAUCUGUUUCCAAUUAAGCUUUAGCUUAUACAAUGAUCUUUGCUAUGGUGGACGUGCGCAGAUAUAUCGAUGCAGGACCUCAUGGUGGUUUACGACAACGAGAAGGGCCAGAUCGGAUGGAUCCGUGCAGACUGCGAUAGGCUUCCCAAGUCUGGAACUUCUCAUCUAUGACGUGAUCAUUUUCUUCUUUUUUACAUAGGCAGAAGUAGGGAGAAUUUCUUACAAUUUUUUUUUCCUUCUUCCACCCUUUUCUCUUUAUUCAAAAACAGUGCAGAUGAUUAUCGUGGCUUUGAGAGGGGUUUCUGCCAGCCUCAGUUCACCGACAUGGGUAUUCUAACAGAUUUCUGCCCUGCUUAUGUUCACUGAAAUGCGGCUCGAUUAAGGGCAGGAUUUUGUAUCAUCUAUGAAUAUUAUGUAUGCAAAAAUACAUUGUUUUAAGAAAUUACAUAGAAACCUAGUCCAUCUCCUGUCCCUCUUGCUGGAUGUAAUAGUAUAAAUAAAUACAUGAAAACUUGAUAGUGGCGGCUGCCGCUGCUCCCAUAUUUGUUAGAAGUGGCUCAUUCAAUGGUGCAUAGUUAGAACUCUAACAUGAUCCUUAAUACUGAGACUAAAUGACAAACGAUGCCCAUAAGUUUCACCUCUUUCUCUUCGCCAAAAGAACUGUACAAGAGGGCUAACCAGCAAAGCAUCAAAAGGAAAAGGCAUAGGAUCCAAAUGGUAAGGAUUAAAAUCAGCUGCAUUUAAUAUAAAGAAUUUGAAAUUAGCAGAGAUACGAAGGUUAAACAAAAAAAUGAGAAAUCAACAGGUACUAACCUUAGAAGGCAAAUGAAAAGCUCUUAUCACAACCGGGAGAUACUAGCACUAUAGAGCUUGAUUUGUCAUCUGCAUAUAAAUGCAUAAUAGCAUUAGUGCACGGUCAAAUAAUAGUGGUUUCUCAACAAUCUUCAGUACAAGGGGGAAAAAAUGAAGAAAUAUUGACAAAAUAUCAAAAUCCAAAUUAAAUGGUGUCAGCUCUAACAACAGAACAAGAGUCAGAUGUAAAAGAGGGUCAAAAACUGUCUCAAUGUCCUAAAAAUUGACAGAUAAAGAGUAAUAAACAUGACAAAGAAAGAAUAGGAGGGGGAUUAAUCUCAGGACGAUUCCUGGUGAAGCAAAACAGAAAGCAGUAAUGAUGGAAUUUUACCUUUGCUUGGCAAAUCUUUGAUAAUGCUUCUAUAUGAAAAUUUUGAAGCUCUUCAAGAGCAUUAUUAUCUAAGCCACCAAGGUCUUCACCCUGAAAAGAGACAUAUAUGUAUGAUUAUUUUAUUAAUUAAAGUAUCUCACUAUUGUGCAAUUUGAUUGACAAAAAGAAGCAUAUGAUGACAGGCAUAUAAACUAAUGUUACAUGCAGCAUAAAACAGCAUACUCUUAAUCUAGCCACAAUGCUUUCUAGUUCCUUGCAGUGUCGUCUUUCAUACUCAUAUGCAGUUCUUGCUUCUUCCAAACACUUCCUUUUAUCCAUAUCAACAUCUAGGUGAAAACCAUUUUGUUUCAACGGAAGUUCGUGAUCACUCAAACCAUCAACUAAAUUUUCGUGAGGAAUACUGCCAUUCUUCUUAAUCUUAGCAACAAGCACCCACAUGCUUGCUAGCUCGUUCUCCAAAUCCUGUUCGCGAUGUUUCGCCUCAUCAAUCUUCUUUUGAAGCUCACCCUCUCUUUGCACCUUCUCAGACAAUGUGGCUUCUAGAGAAGCUUCUCUCUGGCACCUUAGAGCCAGCUCUCUCUGCAAUUCCUCUAUCAAAAGCCCAUUGUCUGGUUUAUUAGAAUAGACAUCACAUCGUGAAUUAGCUCUAGCAGCAGAAGUAGAAGCCAUUUCCUUUGCUGCAACUAAAUCACCACUCAACUUGGCAUUCUGGUAAGAGAGUUUCGUGACUUCUUCGGCCAAGUUUCGAAGUUCAACUGCAGCAGCCGCAGCCAAUUCCUUGGCAUAGGAAGCUUCUUCAGCCAGUUUUUGGCUGUGAAUCUCGAGCCCAUCCUUCUCUUCAGCCAAUCUCACCUUCUCCUGUUUCAGAUUCUCAAUCUCCGCCGCCUAACUCGUAAAAAAAAAGAAACAAUUUAAUUUAAUAUUAUAUUCUAGAAACAAAAUAAUAGAGUGAUCAAGUUAUGGCGAAGAAAAAACAAAGGAUUACUCUAUUUACCAAGGUUAUGAUGAUGAAGUAACAAAAGGAUUACCUGCAUGAGUACUUGGGACUUUAAGGAUGCCUCUUUAGAGUCUUCACUAGAUAACAUGAAAGGAAGGCUCAUCGCAUUAGAUGGUACAUUUCCAUUGCUAGAAACUUCCUUAGAUGAAUCAGCAUGUUUUGUCAGAUUAGGAGUACUGAUAGAAGUAUAAGAACCAAUAUGCUGCCUCAUUAAUGAGAUGGUUUCCUGAAGCUCGGCAUUUUCAGAUAUCUGUCAAAAUUUGAGAAAGCAUACAGGACGGAUCAAAUUAAAUCUGAAACAAUAUAAUCUAUUUAAUUUUGUUCUGAAAUUUCACCUUUGCUUGUAGCUGGUCUUGAAGAAUUCUAUUGUCUGCAGACAUUAUCUUUUGAAGCCAUCACAUUGAAGUGAAAAAAACAAAAAAGAAAAAAAGAAAAAUCAGUAAUGUCUAUCACCGAAAAUCAAAGGAGAAACUAUCGAGGAGAGAAGUUGGACAAACCUCAAGCUCAAAUGUCUUCUCACUUAACUGGGUAGUCAACUUUGAUAGAGUCUACAAGAAAGUUAAGUUUGUGAGUUUAGCAUCACAUCUUUUAGAACACUACGCAGCAAUAAUAAUAUCCACUGGCAAAGUGAUUACUUGACUGAAAAGCCAUAAGUACUCAAAUUAUAUACACAAGUAUUUGUAGACAACUGUGCAAACAUAGGAAGAUGAAAGAUUGCAGCUGGAGAACACAAAAGGUUAACAGCAUUCGCAAGCACCAUGACUACAAUCACAUUUUUUUAGUAAGAGUGUUCACUCAGAUGCAAGUCUACAACAAGGGGUCUUUCUUCCAUGACUUGGUAUCGCCCAAUAAGUAGUUAUAUGAUUGGCUAAGGCAGAUAUUUUACUGACUUUAUCUUCUCGCUGCGAAUGCAAAGUGUAAACAACAAAGGGGGAAAAAAAAGAAAGAAAAAAAAUUACCUGAGACAUUUCUAUACUAUCCGACGAUUCCUCAAAAGAUCCUGCCAUCCGCUGCUCAAGGACACGCAUCUGUAAUUUCUUUUCAGCAAUUUCAUUCUUUAGCUUCUGCAUUUGUUCCUACAAGAGAUAUUAAAAAGACUUUAACUUAUUCAGUAAAAAGGAAACCUAGAUUCCUAACAAAACAGUGAGAUGACUCCACAAAGCAGAUGAAUGAGACCUUUGAUUAUUCAGUACAUAAAUUGAAAGUUCAUUUAGCUCACAUGCCUGAAUUUGUUGGUCGUCGGGGUUGUUCACCACUUGUUCUGACAGUCUCUUAAGAGAGCUUGUACAUAGUGCAACUUCACCAGCUAGCAUUUUCACCUGCUCGCGAAGAAGAUCCAUUUGAUCAAUGAUAGUUGUUCCAGUCUGCAAGACAAGCAACUUGAGUUGGUAAGAUAUUCUGAUAGCAGAUGAAGUAAAAUCCAUAAAUACACUGAAACCCAAUACCAACAACAAUUCGCACAUGAAAGAAAGAAAAGUAAAAUGACUUAGAAAACAUGAAAAACAUAUAACCCACAAGAUGCUUCAGUGCACAAGUCUAAUAUCACCACCUAUAUUAAUAGAAGAGCCUAAAUCAAUUACAGGUUAAGUACAAAAAGGAAAAUCCAUACCUUUAGGGUGCAUAAAGUGAUUCUCUUUAUGGACAUGAACAUCAAAGGAACCAUAUAUUCAAAUGUCUAGAUGUAUGGUUAGUUUACAUAACAUGCAAAAGACCAUUUUAUCUAACGCAACAUUACAAGAAGCAGGGGUGGAGAGAGAGAGGGGGAGGGGAGAGAUCAAAGUCAAUAGAUUCAACAAAUGAAUAGGGAGUAAUUCUUGUAAGCAUCAACAGGAAAGCUAAUAGUAAAAGUCCAACCCUUUAAUUUAGCUCACCGGCGGAAGACGGCGUCCUUUUGUGGCGGUGCUAAAUAGAUCACCUGCUUGUGUCCUUUCUCGGAAGGAGUCAAUAAGCACGGAAGGAUCGUCACUCUUUCUACUUACGGACUUCCUCCUCCCAUCCUUCAGAUCAAAUGAUAUAUGUUUCUGUUGUGAUUGUUGAGAACACGAAGGGGACCCACUUGCGGUGCUCUCACUAUCAGCACCAGGUGAGAGUCCAGGAAAUUGAUCUGGUUUCUGCAUGAGAAGUUAUUAAUCUCAAGAUACUUCAGGGUUCUUGCAGAUAUAGAUCGUAGUCAGCUGGUGCUAACUCUUAGUGGGCCAACAAGGCAUGAUCCUAAAACACAUAGUCACUUUCAAGAUAGAAAUUGCUCAGUAGAAGCUAAAUUGACAUUAAAAGUUGUAUGCCAAGUUUAAGAAGGCUUGACCGAUACCCAAAUUAUAAGUAAAACAAUAUUGUUACUUCAUAGCUGACACGGAUCCAGCUAGGUUGAGGUCCUACUUAACACAGCAUUCAGGAUGAUGAUAAAAUGAGAGAGAGAGAGAGAGAGAGAGAGAGAGAGAGAGAGAGAGAGAGAGAGAGAGAGGGGGUACAAAGGGAAGGGGGAAGGGGAUACAGCCAACGCAUUGAGCAUGUAAUUGAUCUCAAAUUUAAGGAGUUUCUGCUAAGCUAUUCAUGUGGAACUGUACCAGCAAUGCCCCAUUUUAGUUUUAUUUAAAUAAUGUGAGAAUAUAGACAUGAAGUUAUUUUUUAACUAAGAAAAUAGUAUCAAUGUGUAAAGCUGUAAACUUCAGUCUUAUUCUAGUGGGUUACACCCAUGAGCUUCAUAAUGGUAAGUUUCAUAUUUCCUUGUAGCAACGCCUGAAGACAAAAGAUGCCAGACAAUUCUAAACAAACAGCGAAAAGAUUAACCAAGAAGCUCACCCUUAGUUUGAACCAACCAAGCAUUCCACGCCUACGAUUCCUUUUAUCAAACCUGAUUGGCUCAUCUAUGCCGCUUCCAUCAAUUCUUCCUGCUGAGAAGUCGGAAUCAAGACUGCCAACAUCAUCAUCCUCAAUCGUGUACUCCCUCUUACGAUCAGGCAAAUAAGCAAGCUGCAACAGUUUAAGAAGAUAUUUUUAAAAAUGCUAUUACAACAGUGGGACUUCAGUCAUAGCAAUAUAGAUGACGAUGCAGAAUGGAAUAACCUGAUCCUAAUUGGUUCGUUUGAUAUUCAUUAGUUCUACAAAAAUGGUAAAUUUAGUAGGAAGAAUUAACUCAGAUAAUUACUGUUAAAUUGCUCUAUCAAAUCAAGCCUGUUCAGUAAUCUCUAGCGAACUCAUUUAAACAGAAGUCAAAAACCAAGCCAACCAGGUUAGUUUCCUAACUACAUCAGUCAUAUUAAGAUCAGUUUCCAGCCCAUUUAUGCUGCCAUAAUCUUAUUGUAGACCAAUCAGUUUGUAGGAAAACUAAGAAAAAAAUAUUACAAGAACAAAUUAGUAACCAUAGCAAAAGAUUGAGAUAAGUUUGUAGGAAAACUAAGAAAAACUAUUACAAGAACAAAUUAAUAACCGAAGCAAAAGAUUAAGAAUAAAACCUCAUCUUCCCCAAAAGAAUGCCUUCGUCUAUGACCAGCCUUCUCUGAAAUGUUUGAUGGCAUAGAAUUCUUGGUGGAUACUAAGAUUAGUUUAGUCAGCCGCUGAAUCCGACCCAUCAGGGCUGCUUUUGCUUCCUCCUCCUCUUCCAAUCUUGACUGUAACUUGACUUGGCCAGCUUCAAGCUUUCAUAUUGGAGAAAGAACUAAUUUCAAAAACAUUGAAAAAAGGAGGCUAGAAAAAAGUGGAAACAUAAACAAGAAUUGUUUAUUAGCUGCUUGAGAUGAGAAGCUAGCACGAAAAGACUCCCAAGUAUUGCAUCUAAAUAGUAAGCAACCUAUCCCCUGUUCAAUUUGCAUACGUAACAUGAUAGCAUAAUAUGGCAAAGGAAACACUUAAGGGGUUGCUCUACAGAAUAUCCUUACAGAACAAACUGGAAGAUUCUAGUUUCUUUGCAACAAAGUUAAUAAUGGCUGAAGUCUAGUUACUAGUAUACCAAAAGCUCUUUUUUUUAUUUACUUUUUUUAAAAAAAGAGAUAACUGUGCUAGAAUCUAAAUCAAGAUGUUGAUAUGAAAAAAAAAAAAAAGAAAAGGGAUGGAAAUGGAUAUCAUUGGACUUGGUUAUUCUCCUCCCCACUCAUAGUUUACAAAUAAAAUGCUGUUGCAUAAUCCGUCAUUCCGUUGGCUACAAGAAAAUAUACCAAUCUAAAACCUUUAUAUUGUCAGUCCAGAGUUGACAAUGGCAGUUCAAGAUCAGUCUAAUGAGUUGCCUGAUAAUGAUGAGAAACUAUGAUUAAAAAAGCUCGGAUUAACAUGUAGUACAAACAACAUCAAAAUACCAAAAAAAAGAGACUUAAAAUAGCUUCAGAUUUAGCCUGGAUAGCUUAUUGAUUUCAUGCUUAUAAUUUAAAAAUUAUACCAAUUUGUAACAAUUUGGGUCAUUUUGUAACUUUCUGAUCAUCAAUGACAGAUUUGCAGAAUAAUGAGAAUAUCCGGAAAGAACUGCAUUUGCAUGAGAAAAUGAUUAAGCUAACCCAAAAAUAGAUUCCAUACCCGGCAAACUCCAGACAAUGAAUGGUGCUAGUAUGAUGGUUAUAAAGGAUGAUAGAAAGACAAACCUUAAGUUUUAGGUUGACAAGAUCCUCUUGACUGGAAGCAACAAAGUUGGGAUGUUCCAUCAUGCCACGUUUUAAUUGCUGCAGCUCUUGUUUUAGGCAGGAAAUCUCUCUCUGGUACUUCUUUAUAAGAGACUUCUCAUCUAUUAUCUGCAAAAUGUGGUUAGCAAUAACAAUCAGUUCCUCUCAUCAUGCAUAUCAGGUCUAUAUAUAAAAUGGAGUAAAUGUGUCACCUUAUUUUGAGAAGCUUUAAUUUCAACAUGCUUGCAUUUGUGUGCAAAUUUGAGUGUAUUAUGCGUUUCCUCACUAUUGCUAGAGGCAGGAGUAACCGUGCAGAUAAGCUGCCAAAAGCAGAGGGAAAUAAAAAGCAAUCAUAAGAGCAGUGAAUUACAUUUUAAAUUAUUUUCUUCAACAACACAGCCCACAGUUAAAAGAAGCAUGAAAAAAGGAAUUUCCAAUACCUCCACUAGUGGAAAAAGGAAAAUUAUUGAUGCAACUGUUGCACAUUUAAGAACUUACAGAAAUGCGUCCAUGACCACUAAGAGACGACUGCAGUAAGCGGGUGAGUUUUGAAUCUCUGUAUGGAAUAUGAGUAGCCUUGCCAUCUGUGAGUUUAGAAAUAACCUGGAUAGCAAAAAUGACAUUUUUAAAGGACUCACUUUAAAAUACAAUAUAAUAGUUGUAAAAGCUGCAUAUAUAGUAACACAUGAAAUAAGCACAAUUUUCAGCAAAAGGAAAGAUAAGAUGGUAAAUAUCACAAAACCCAUUACCAGUAACUGAAUGUUUCAAUAGUUUAUAAUGGAUGAGAAUACUAUCAGUUGAAGGCUUGUAGAUGCAAGAAAUAUAAGAUCAUUCACAAAAAUAGACAUGAAUUUUAAAAAAGAAGGAAAAAACGAAGUCCAAUUCAAAUACCUAAGGUUGAACAGAAAGAAAAAACAAUGCAGAUGAAGCUAACCUUCUUUAGGAUAUCUUAAUGUGCUAGGCAUGUACAAGUGUAUAACAUAUUUCAAGAUGAGGUCAGCCUUUAACAAAAUAAACUUCCUACUCUCAGGCAUUUUUAAGUAGAGGUUAUAGUACAUAGUUUAAUUUUUUCCGAAGUUUUGAGAAUUGGUAAAAACCUCGGACAUACUUCAAUAAGGAGAGGAUCCUAUCAUUUAGGAUGCAUAAUAUUUUGACCAACAGAAAAAUGCAAGGUAUUAAAACUCUUUCCAUUGACAAGCCUCCAAAAACCAAUUCCUUAGGUUGGCAAGAAAGAGCCCGAAUGUUUUCUUCAUAAUUAUUAACUUUCAUUCGAUUAGGUUGUAUAUGUAUCCUGAAUAGAGGUACAAAUCGUACAGAAAUUUAUAUGGAAGCUCUUAGGACAAAAAUAUUAAAAAAUAUAUAUAGUGAAAAUAAUAAGUAAUAGUAGUCAGACAAAAAAUGUGUCACACACAUGAUCUUAAAAGACCAUCAAUAAUCCAAAAAACAAACUUCUGUAAAAAUAAUCUAAAGGUUGGAUAUUAUGAUACUUGAUAUUUCGAAGAAAUGAAAACACCAACAAGCAAUCCGAUAAAUCAUCAACUAAGAUUUAAUCAUUGAAUAUCUUGAAAAAGGCUUCUAAGAUUGAAUAAACUAAAAGAUAAUCAUAACUUUACAGUAAGUUAAAAUAGAGGAAGAACAAUGGGAUGCAGUAGCUUACAGUCCCAAGAGUAAGUAAACUUUUGUUUAUGUAUGAACCUUCCUUCCGUCUCAACCCUGUUGUUUCAGUCUUGGAACUUUCUGACCCAGCUAGAUCAAUCAAGUUCUGAAAUAUUUGUCAAACCAGAAAGUCAGGGGGGAAAGUUGCAAUUAGACAGAAUGAAUGGUUGAUUUACAGAAACAACAGCAUGCAUUAAACAAAAGAUCAUAUCUCCUAGAAGGAAAAAGAAUUACCAACUGAGAUAGUCUAACUUCUUCCUCAUCUUCAUUUUCACCAGAAGGGCUACUCUCAAUAGUCUGCAGGCGCAUAAUUUCUGUAAGUUACUAAAAUAUACCUUCAAGUCAAUUAAAUAAACGGUGUAACAAAAAAAACAAUAAAUGCUAUUUAAAUUGUGAAUACGAUAAACCAAAAAGCUAUAGUUUCAGAAAUCCCACAAGAAUGCAAUGCCAAAGAAACUUACCAAUGUGAAUAUAGUGUGACUCCUGCUACUGACUAGAUUGAAGUUAUUAGAACCCACAUGUCUGUGCUCUGCAACAAUAUACUGUGAUAAGUGCAAACGGAAGUAUUCCAAUAUAAACAUUACAACAAAGGGAGCAAACAGCAAUACAAAAGAAUAACAUGUACAAUAUUCCUGACUAAUAAAAAAGGAAUAUGUUCAUGUUAGUGUUAAAAAGACGUAAUCCUGCAAUCUGCAGGAAACAGAAGCAACAAUGCACAUGCUGUGUACUCCAAGAAGCCCUGAAUAAUGCACGUUAAAUUGAUUAGCAAAGAAUCCUAGCUCCAGCUAAGAAUCCACUAAAACUGAUAAUGAACAGAUUAAAAAUGUCACAUAACACAUUCAAAUGAGCUUCUUAGGUUGCAUAGGUAAGUUAUAAAAUGAACAAAGAAUAAUCCAAAAAACAAACCAAUACAGUAAAUACUUCAUCACCCACAGCAAUGCACAACCCACAGCAAUGCAUAAUGGAAGGCUAAAGUACAAUAACCACCGUUGCAUAUUUGCCCAUAUCUCAACUAUCCUCUAUGUUUUCUAUUACUUCGAUUUCAACUUUACAUGUUAGGAUAAUAAGGUGACAAAUUUCUAGGGUAAUAAGGCAUGAUAGUCAUGUAGUUUAAAUAAAAGAUAUGUAAUCAAUCUCUUUGUAGACAUACCUUCACCAGAUGCUAUUAAGGAAAGAGCAUGGGCAGGAGAUAGAACCACCUCUUCUUUGAUUCCCUCGACAUAUGUUCCCUACAUGAAAUAUGAAACUAUCGAAGUUCAGCAUAAUAAAUGAGAAGUACUAAGUGAAAAUUAACAGUCAUGCAGAUAAUGUUUGGAAAAAAAAAAAAGGAAAAGGAAAAGGAAAAGUAAAUGACAAACGGAAUAAAUAACAUAUGCAUAAGCCAAUCGACAUGGAAAGCUAUUCAACAAUUGAGGUUAGAAACCAUAACAUGCAGAAACUUAGCUGCUAAAGCACCAAAAUAUGAUCUCAGUGGGGAUUUGUGAAAUGUGACAUGUGGAAAAGCACAAUUUAGUGCUUAUAUAUAUUGCUUAUGAGUUUGUUGUUUACUUCAUGUUUAUUAAUCAAGCGAUACAAUGUGAAAAUGGUUCAGCUUGAAGAAGCAUACUUAUUUGUCUUUUUGUCUUCCUUCUUACACCUUUUUCUGCAAACAUUUGCCUGAUUUACAAAAUGCAAAUAUGUCACUAUAAAUCUUAACAAUGCUUCAUUGUUUUAAGUUCAUAAUAUGGGCAUAAAAAUAAAAAGAUAGCUUAAAAUUUUAUAGCCUGCUAUCAUGCUUCAUUAGUGAUUUCUAUAUAUAAUUCGAGUAUUUUGCAUGAUUAUCUGCUCAUACUAUGACUAAAAUACAAUUACACACUUGAGUACAUAAUAGUUCAAAAAAACAUACAAGAACUGUCUAACAAAAUAAAACAAAUGAUAUUAUCACAGCAGUAUGCCAGAUCCCAGUUUGUUAUUUAUGGUAUAAUCCACUUUUGUUACACGCUUUUAACUGAAAAAAGAAAUAUCUGCACAAAAUAUAUGACUCAUUAACAUCAUGCUACUAUUGUGCAAUGAGCAAGUUCUGAUGGAAAAAAUGAUUACCACUUUCAACAUCGAGAAGGAAAAAAGAUAUUACAAAAACUUCAUUACUUAGGAACUAGCAGACAACUUUCAAUCCCAGAAAGUAACAAGCACAAUGUUGUCAAUGUUUAGCAUCCUGGGACAAAAUAGCUGUCCCUAGGUGUGACAAUGGACAGAUCAAUAUCUACCCAUGUUAAUGGCAAAACAGAUGACAUUAAGUCAUGGUACCUGUGAAUCCUCCCUUAUUCUAAGGUUCUGUCCUGUUGGGUCAAGCAAAUCAUUAAUAACCUGUCAAGGUAGAAAAGGAUAAAAGUUAAUAUAUUAAAACACUAGAGGAGAUGAGAGUUGUAUUGUUUUGCAAAGGUUGUCUAAAUCAUAUAGCAAGAAAACUUCAGGAAACUAAUGCUGCUUAAACAGAAGAUUCAAUUGCAUUAUUACAUAAACCGCAAAACCAUGGAAGUUUAAAGGUGUCAGUACAAAUAUCAGAAAAGAUAAAUAUUUGCAGUUCAUGUGAAAAUACUUACAAUCAUACCACCUUAAAUAAGACCCAAAAGGGUAGUACCUCAUUGUAUAUUUCAAGGUAAGAAACACGCAAAAGAAAUUCUCGGCCAGGCGUCUGGAAUCAAGAGAUUGAAUAAAAGAUUAGUAAAAAUUUUAAAAAAUAAGGAUGAGACCAGGCAAAUAAUGAAAGAAAACACCCAAGACAUGAUCAACAGUGUUUACAUCUUGGAUAAUGCUGAAGACAUCCUUCACCGCCAAUGGAAUAAUUCCAGGGGACUUUUGCUCACCCUUAAGGAAAAAAAAAAAAAACAGAAAGGUAAAAGAAAAGAUGAUAACAUGGUGCUAGCAACAAAUUAAACUAAGGCAAUUCAAUGUCUUUAGUUUGUCAGAACAAUUAAACAAUAGACCCUAACAAAUAAACUCUAGAAGAAGUUACACAAUUGAAGAGAAAAAAUUUCCAUUGAGGUGGAUCGCCACGAUGACAUAAAAAUUUAGAGAUGGUUGGCGCAUUUAGAAGUACAUAAAGAUUUAGAGAUGGUUGAUGCAUUUAGAAGCUUAAUUAAAAAGGAAAGAGAAAUUUCAAGCAUUUGCACAUACGGACAACGAAAAUUUUGAUUUGACAGAGAGCUAAAGAUUUUAUUAUUCUUUGAUUCACUAUUGGACGAAAAUCUUUGCUCCACAAGUCUACAGUUUCUUAAUUCUAACAGGUGGUCAAAAAGUUGGAGAUAAAUAAUGAACUAAAAAUUUGGAAAUGGAAUUUAGUUCGUUUACAUUUGGAAACCUCACGUUUAUUGACAUUGCAGUUAAUAUCCUACUGCAUAGAUUAGUGCCAAACAAUCAGCUGUUCACACCCGAGGUGUUAGUUACAGACACGUAAAAAGGGAAACAAUUUGUCAAUUAAUCAAUUUGAAUAAUACCCUUAGGAUCAUAACAAAUUUAUGCUUUUGUAUAUCAUUAGGUGCUCCCCUGAGAGCUCGACAGAUAGCAAUAAUAAAACAAUAGAACCAAAAUACAAUUUAAACAAAUAAUUAGACAACUGGAAGUCUGGCACUAGAAACUUAAAUUAUGCAUAACUGAUACAUAUAAGAUUGCCACGGCAUCAAAGACUUACGUGCAUGGUAUGAGUUUUGCCACUACUAGUAACACCAUAGGCAAAAACAGUACCUGUGAUACAGAAAUAUCAGAACCUCUAAGAUAAUAAUAACUGAAGGCCAAGUAAUUUUUAAUAAACAUAUAUCUAGAAGGAAUGUGGAAAUAUGAACCGAUAACCCAUGUUCUAUAUAAAAUAAACUGCAUCAAUCAAAUCAAAGACAACUUCUAGGGCCACACUUAAGUCAAAAAGAAAGGAGAUUACAGACACUAAGCUCAUACUGAACAAAUCAAAGAACGAAAGUUUCACAUGCUAUAAUUAGCUUUUACAACAUUGUUAAUAGUAACACAUUAAGGGCAUGUUUGGUUCAUGAGUGGAAUGAGAGUGGAAAAUGGAAUUAGAAUGCAUUGGAAUAGAAAAUGGAAUGAAGAAUCAUCCAAAAAUGUUUGGUUCGUUAUUGGAAUGGAAAUCAGAAUGGACAAUUGGGACACCUAAAACUUUGAGAGAGGGGUUUUGGACCUUUGGUUAAGAUAGAGGAGAGUGAUGAGCGGAGAGAGAAGAGGGAGGUAUUUAUGAGAGAGGAUUUUGAGUGGUUUAUUCUAAAAUUGGCCAAUCUAGAAUUCACAACCGAAUUGGGUCAUAAAUGGAUUGUGUCAUUCCCAUUCCCGAGUGAAAUGAAAAUCGGAAUCCAAUUACUAUUAACGAUAACUAUUGAGAUAAGGGAUUCCCAUUCCGAUUCCAGAGUCUAAAAUAGGUGAACCAAAUAAGCCUUAAGUGCUAUGCAACAGUAUAGACGAAUCCGAAGUUCCAAAAACAAAAUUAGAAUUAUUUGAAUUUCUAGCGUUACUUAGCACAUGAUGCCCGUGUAAUAGACUGUAUAAAUUUAUAUUUACAGGCAUCCCAUCUUAUGCAAAUAGGCCUUUUACAUCUCUCAAAUGUGAAAUUAUGACCAUUCCAAAACUACAAGUUCUUCACUUGGUUCCCCAAGUAUUCUUCGGAAGUGGAAACUAAGAAUAGAAAAAUCAUUAAAUCUCAACGGUACCAAGAAUAAGAAAGUACCAUUGAUUCCUUCCAUUGCACUGCUUACAACAUGCUGAGCAGCUACAUCGUAAACAUGACGAGUUGUAGUUGCCGGGCCAAACACUUUAUCUGUCAAAAUAAGGGGAAAAUAACAUUUUUCAGGGAAAAAGACCGAAUGUUAAAGGAAAAGGACAAAACUAUAUUGAUUCUACUGGAUUAUCAUGUUUGCUAUACCACCCUGUGCCAAUUUGGCACAUAUCUUCCAAAUGCCUUAUCUAAUUAAUGAGUAUUGAUCACAAUACAGGUUCCUUCAAGAAGCUUUGUAGAUUGAAUAAGUUGAGCGAUGCGAAUGUGCAAACUGUUAGGAAGAAACUAUCCAAGCCCAAGUAGUCGUGUUAAAAUAUACAGAUAGCACAUUGGCACAGCAAUUCUCCACGAAACAAUUGUUCAUUGAUCAGCAAAAUAACAGGAGAUUAACACUCUACCAUUGUGAUAAUUCUCAUUAUCAAAGUGUUAAAUGCGUUGAUAUAGCAUGCAUUACUCCGGCCAAUUUUGGUCUAUUUAUUGGUAGACUAAUGGGUCAUGCUGGCUUUUUGAACAGCCAUUAAUAAUAUCUUUUGUUACAUAAGUAGAUGAUGCAACUUGCCACGCUGAACGUUCCCUAAACAUACAUCUACUCAUACCCAUAAAAAUUAAUGCAUAUUGUUUUAAGGAAAAGUAGAUAUAAACUAAAAAAAAAAACUAAAAAUAAAGGACUCGAAGACAUUUCCUCAAUAUCUCAAUCUAUGAGUAUCCCUCGGACUAAUUAUUUCGACUACAACGAGAUCAAAGUAAUUGCAGUCUUGCAUUUGUAAAGUUGACAUGGCACAAAUGGUUCAGAGGGUCCAAUAAGGCAACAUUUAAAAUUUAAGAUAACUUUAAUUCAGCGCUCCUAAAGGCUCAUACAGCUGUAGACAGCAUGGAUCAUUAUCUCUACACAACAUUAACCCACAUUACUCAGAAAGAACUAAUUCAUGCUACAAACCUCCACGACAACUGCUUGGAAAAGUAAGCAAAAAACUGCUUGGAAAAGUAAGCAAGCGCGGACAAGAUUCUCGAGUAAGGGUUAGGAAUACCGACCGAAACCGUAAGCAAUCGACAGAUUGUACUCAUUGCGCACGGUAUAAUCCCCAUCGGCAUACCACGCGACCUCGUCGCCUUUGUUGAUCUCUCUCGCGCUACCAAGAACCAGUUACUUGAUGAAUCAGACCACUUUUCUCAGCUCAAACAAGGGGUAGACACUCACAAUGGAGAAAGAAGAGGGCGCCGCAUACCUAAGAGGCCGAAACCGGACGGUGACGGUGACGUUCUCCUUGGACUUGGCGAGAUCGGGGGGGCGCUCGGAGAGCUGAGACGAAGUAGGGCUAAUGGGAGCCGCAGAGACCGGAGACGGCCUCGCGGGCCGCGUCGCCGCGGAGGACGAAGCGGACGAGGGGGUCGUCGGCCGCGCCGACGCUAAGGAGGACGGGGUCGCGGGCCGAGCGGCGCCGGAGGAGGCGGAGGAAGGGGUGGUGGGUCGAGCUCCGGGGGCCUUGGAGGGGGGAGGGGUGGGGGUCUUGCGCGAUCGGAAUGGGGAGAUGCUCGCUCUCCCGGACUUGGAGGACAUGGCGAGAGUGGUGAGGCGAUCGACAGGAACAAGACGAGCUCUCUCUCUCUCUCUCUCUCUCUCUCUCUCUCGAUCUCUUUGAUCUCGUCGAUUCUAGGGUUUCGGAUGGAGACGAAGGAGGAGGACGAGGAGAGGAGACGACCGGCUCACAUGCUCUCUCCCUAUCUCUCUCUCUCUCUCUCUCUCUCUCUCUCUCUCUCUGCCGCCUCCGGUCCAAACUACGGAAUAUUUUUUGAAGUUGGCUUUUUCUUGUUUCCCUCAUUCUUUGAUGCUGGGGAGGGGGGAGAGUGACGGUAGCGUUACCUCUCAGUAAGUUUACCGCGCGGUUGCUCAAGCACGUACGGUGAAAUUGACUCGCCAGUCGUCGCCAAUAAGACUCCACCGAGUAGCUGCCAAGAUUCCUGAAAUUUAGGGAGAGAUUUAAACAAAGCCUACAAAAUUGAUCAAAACAGAGAACAUUAAACUAGAUGGGCUUAAUUACAAAAGCACCACUUGUACUUCAGUUCAUAGUUUGGACUUUUUUUCGAAAAUAAUCCAAUAAAAUUUCGUAUUUGCCAAACUAAUCCUGUGAAACUUUUAUUUGUGAAACUAACCCUCCUCUCGCCACCUCAGCCGCCACAUCAGCAUUUCUCACAAAAACGGUAACUCGUUCACUGUUUUUAGGCAGUCGUCUUGAAGGCAGUGAAUGGUUCACCGCCUUCUCGAGGCGUAUCAUUCACCGCCUUCUCAACAAUUCCCCGUGCACCCUACCGCCUUCUCAGCAAUUUCCCGCGUACCCUAAGGUGCCCUGAGAAGACGGUGACUCAUUUACCGCCUUAUGAAGGCGGUGAAUCGUUUACCGUCUUAUCGAGACCUGAAUCAUUGCGCAAGGUGCUUGCGGUAGACGGUCACUCGUUUACCGCCUUGACAAAAGCGGUGAAUAGUUUACCGCCUUAUCUAGGCAUAAAUCAUUCACCGCUUUCGCAGCAAAUCCCCCGCCUAACAGCCCUAUUCUGUGGCAUAGAUAAGGCGGUGAUUCGUUUACCACCAUCUCUAUGCCGCCUAAGCAAAUCCCUGUCUUUAGUGUGGAACUCCACCCAGCCUAAUUUCGCUGUUGGGCGGGGGAUUUGCUUAGAAGGCGGUGAAUGUUUUACGCCUUAAUAAGGAGGUAAACGAUUCACCGCCUUUAUUAAGGCGGUAAACGAGUCACCGUCUUCUCGAGGCACCUUAGGCUACGCGGGGAAUUGCUGAGAAGGCGGUGAUACACGGAAAAUUGCUGAGAAGGAUGGUCCACGCCUGGAGAAGACGGUGAACCAUUCACCGCCUUCAAGAUGCGUCCCCAAAGACGGUGAACGAGUCACCGUCUUUGUGAGAAACGCUGACCUGGCGGCUGAGGUGGCAAGAGGAGUGUUAGUUUUAGAAAUAAAAGUUUCACAGGAUUAUUUUGGCAAUUACGAAAUUUUACAGGAUUAUUUUCGAAAAAAGUCCUCAUAGUUUACUCAUUCUAUGUAUUAAAAAGUAGGGUAAGCUUUAAAUACUACGGUAGUUUGGUACUUUCUUAUUUUGUAUCAUAUGAUUUAAAAGGUAUUAAUUUAUUAUCAUGUGGUUUUAUUUUUCUCUUUUCGUUAGCCUCUCCGCUAACUUUUCAUUAAAUCAUACACAAAAAAACUUCAUAUACUCUAUCUAUAAUUUAACGAAUAUUCACUUUAGUAUUCUUUAGUUUUACGAAUAUCACUGAUUUAACGAAAAAAAUUAGUAGAGUGGAUAAUAAAAAGAGAAAAAUAAAAUCACAGGGUAUGAAAAUAGUACACUUUAAACCAUAGGGUACUAAAGUAAGAAAGUGCGAAAUCACAGGGUUGGUAUUUGAAGUUUUUUCUAAAAAUUCUGUUAACUAGCUACAAAAAUUUUAUUACUGUUUUCAAUAGAAUUCAAAAUUCACAAAUAAUCGGCAAAUUAAAGUGUAAAACUUUACUAAAAUAAAUAGGUAUUAUCAUAUUUUUUCACAUCUUAACAUCUAUUGAAUUUGCAAUUAAGAAAAUAGAUAAAACAAUAAAUAUACAAUGUAUCGUAUUUUGCUAAUACUACCAAUCUGAUAUUAAUCAAAUAACUUUAUUCAAUUUAAAUGACUACUAUUUUAAUUAUAACUAAUUUUUAUUUGCUAAUUAGUUUUUACUAAAUUUUGUAGCUAAAUUCAAUAAUUAUUCCAAACUUUUAGUCUAUGUUAAACAAAACCUCGAGGAGAGUAAUUGAAUUGAGAUUAAAGAGCAAAAGGGUUGCUAGUUUUAACCAAAAAAAAAAAGGAAAGAAAAAGAGAGAGAGAGUGAAUAGUUUUCGUCUAAAUAUUAUCACACAGGAAGUCUUCUUUAACAUGAUAGUUCCACAUAGGAUUUGCAACAUUAUAUCCAAUGUCUCCAUUGUAUUAAAACAAAAAAUUCUAAAGCAUCAUUUUAUUCAACAAAAUAAAUGUCGAUGAAAAGCUAAUUUCUUUUUUUAACAAAUGAAACACUACAAAAGGUUUUUAAAAAAUCACGAAUUUUUUUUCACAAAUAAAUAUUUUUUAUAAUUUAACGAUGAAUCAAAUAGACCAUCAAUAAAUUUUAUUUAGCGAUCAAUAACUAAAUAUAAAAAUAAUUGUCUAUAUACCCUUCAAAACUUGAGAAAUUUCUAAUUUAUCUUUACUUUAUCUUGUGUCAAGUAUACCUUUUAUGUGUUCCUCCAUUAUUUAAAAAUGUCUCCGUAGUUACCACCAGUUAAGUUAUUCGGAUUAUACGUGAAUUAAAUGUCUAGCAGAGUUAAAAAAAAAAAUCAAAAUAAUUCUUUUGCCCUAACUUAAAAGCAAAUAAGAAAAGUUUGUGACAGUAGAAAGAUAUAUUUGAAAAUACAAAAAAUAAAAUAUUUCUUUUGUUCAUAAUUUAAGAACAAAUAAAAAAAGCUGGUGAUUGUAAAAUAAUAUAUUUAAAAUAAUAAAAUAAUAAUUUUAUCGAGAUAAUAGUUGUUGCUGGUCGUUUACUAAUAGAAUUUUAUUCUAAAAAUAUAUUUGAAAUAACUUAAAACGUUAAAAAAGUAUUUUUAAUAUUAACCUUUUAAUAGGGAUAAAUCAAUAAGUUGAAAAUUUUUAGAGAUAUAUAAGCAAUUAUUCCUAAAAUAUAUAUAAUUUACUUACAAUCACAUGACAGUAAUUUGAACUCAGUUGACUUGUUUUUUUUUUUAAAUUGCCUACUACCCACUUUGUUUAUUUUAUUUAUAAAUAAAUUUAAGUAAAAAUAUGAAUUAAAUAAAAUUUAAAUUUUAAAUUUUGGAUAUCAAUUAUCGUACUCUUUGCAACUUGCGUUUGGAACGGUCGGUAGCACAGCUCAGCUAGAAAAAUUCUAGAAUGCAACGGAUAUAUUAGUGACGUGGCAUAACAAAUCAAUUAAAUUAAUCAUUUUAAGAAUAUAUAUCCCAUCAUGAUUGUAAAAAAAUAUUUUUAUUGUACUUUUAUUUGAAAAGAAUGAAUAUAAUUGGCUUGCUAUUGAUGACGUGGUGCAAGUGUGACAGUGUAGAAUUCCUCGCUCAGCUGACUUGUUAAGCUUUCGUUUCGAGUGUUUUGGGUUCACCGCUUGUGUUCACCGCAGGUAAUCUCACAUGCCUGACGCCCGUGCCGUAGUCUGCAUUUGGCUCUCUCAUUUUUAGGGAGGCACUCAGGCGCAACAUUGUCGGAUGGGAAAAAGUCAUCUCUUAGGACACGCAUGUGAGAAGCACGUGAGUUACACACAUGGUGAGAUGAGUCAUGAGUGAAUAGCUCGAUAUUUAUAUUUAUAUACAAGUGCGAAAACGAAACUUUCGUUUUCGCGGUUGGUGGAGGGAAACCCCUCUUAGUACAAACACGUGAAUUGCACGUGAGAAAUAGUGCGCGGGCCAGGUAAUUUUUAACCUUUUUUUAAUAUUUUUUAUUGAUUGCUUUUUUAUUUAUUGCUAAGCAGCCUCUCCUUGUACGGAAAAUAAAUCAGAAAAUUAUUUUCGACAUUAAAAUUACCUUUUCAUUUAUUUGAUUCGAUAUAAAAUCACUUCUCUGUAAAGUUAUUUUUACAAAUUUAAACAAAAAAUUGAAAUUUUUAUUUUUCGCUAUUUUUUCGACGAAAAACAAGAACAAAAAUUAUGUAAAACUUUUUCAUUCAUUUUUUUCCACCAAACUAAACAAACGUAAGUUUUUUUCUUUCCAUCAAGAUAAAAAAUUAUUUUUUUCUUAUAAAUCAAACACUACAACACAUAAAAACCUUUUUUUCUCCGAAAGUUUUUUCCCCUGAUAUUUUUUUUUCAUGAUUUUACAUUAAAGCAAACAAACCCUAAGAAAAUAUAGAACUUAUUUGAAUCAUGAAUUAUUUUAAUUUGACUAUUCAAUUUUUUAAAGUUUUAAUUUUACUUUUUAAUUUUCUUAAUUUCAAUCGGUCGACGAUAUUUUGACUUCAAAAUUUUAAUGCGUCAUUUAUCUUUAUAUUAGUUAGUAUAUUUUAUACAAUUCUCAUAACUCAUUUAAAUAAGUUAUUAGCUUAAAUUUAUACGUUAAAGUGCCGUUGAGUAACUAAAUCAAGCAAAUUUAAAGGUUGAUUGUAAAACCAAUAAUUUUAAAGUUCACGUGGUCCAUAAUUCAGCUAAGUUUUGCAUGCUUUUAUCUUUUUUUAGCUCUUUCAGUUUAAAUUAUUUUACUUGACUAAAAAAGUUUUAUUAUCUGAAGUAGUUAGGGCCAUAAAAUUUUACUGAUCAUCCAUUGAUUAAUUCACACGGUUAACGGUUGGAUGGGUAGCAGUGGGCCAAGACCUAGAUUGUGAACGCGGACCCGAAACUAACCACCUUUUGCCAUUUAAUUUCCCUAACUAAGCAUUGAGCUAAUGAACUGGUUGGAGAAUAGGGUUAGGGCUAUUGUUGAUAAAUAUCCUGGUUAUUCCACCAUCUACAAUGAUGAGCAUUUUAUAUCCCUGUGGGGACUCUUUGAUUAAUGCAUGAGUACUUUUAUUUUGGAUAUGUUUUUCAAGUUAUGAUUGGAUGUAGGAAUAAAUUAUCAUUGAAUAGUUUAUUAUGUAUAAAAUAUUUCUUAUGUGAUUGAAGAUAACAAAUUUUAACUUCUAGGUUUUUUAAAGAUCUUGUCAUCAAUAAUUUGAUAGGGUAACUAAAAUGAGAUUUUUGUUUUUAAUUUUUUAGAGAGAAAGAUAGCAUGCUACCAAUCAUUAAGUUCUUUGUCAUUUGUGCUAGAAACAGUCGGUAUAAUGAAAUUUAUUUUAUUCUAAUAAAUUGAGUAUAAAGCGGAAUAUAAUAUUCGAAUCUAGACGUUUCAUCGCAUUUUUUAUUUAUAAAAUACUAUACUUCUUUAGUAAAUCAGAGGUAUAUCCGGAAUACCUUAUUUAUGCAUCCGAAUAAAACUUUAAUGCCACAAUACAUUAUACUUUCUAGUUAAUAUUUUUAGAAUAGGAUAAAUUAACUUAUAGAAUAAAUAUGUUAUCCUAUAAAAUCAUAAAUAAUAAUACUUUUCAAGAAGUAAAAAAUUGAACAUCUUGCAUACAAUCCUAAAAAAAAAUUCAUGCCAAAUAUCCUUAGGUGAAAAUGUUCCUCAUGAGAAAAUUUUGCAAGCUACAUAUUUGAGGCAACUUUCGCUGUAGAAAGUUCCCUCUCACUCAGCAUUUCAACAGUGGGAAGCUUUUAAUCUUGAGCUAAUACGAGGUAAUUAGGGCUCACAUCGCGAAAGCUCGUGCCAAAUUGGGUGAGCGCUAUUAAGUUAAAAUCGAAUUAUCAAAUCAAUCCGACCUAAUUUGAUCAAUAAACUUCAAUUUGAUUAAUAUUUUGAUUUAAACAGUUCUAUUUGACCAAAAAUUUUGAUUUUUUUGUUUGGGCAUACCGGCCGAAGUAACCAAUUAAAUGAGUUAAAAUAGUUUUUUAGAGUGAAAACUAAACUUUACGUUAUCUUUUAAAAUAUAUUUAAAAGUAAAAUAAACAUUUCAAUUUAUUCUAAUAGAUUUUUUACUAUAUUUUCUCUUUAUUAUUUCAAUAUAAAUUAAAUUCGAAUAUAAAAUUUUGAAUUUUUUAAACCAACCAAUUUAAAUUGUUGAGCUAUUAUAAUUCUGAAGGCCCGACUUAGAAAGGCCCAAAUCUAUCAAACCGACUGAACUGAACCAAAAAUUUCAGUUUGGUUGGUUUUCGUUUUUGAGUAAUGAUUCGAUCGGGUUCGAUUCAGCGAAUUGCAAGAUCGAAAAUUUUGAUUUAAUCUAUUAUUUUAUAAAAAAACCGAUUGAAAUGACAGAAUGCUCUCCCUUACUGCCAAAGAGAGGCAGCAGCGAUGUGGACAAGAUCCAAAGCAAUUUCUUUGGAAGUUUGCCGGGAACAAGCCCAGCCCAACUGCGAAAAUGGCCAUUGAUACACUUUACCAUAACAAUUUGGUCUAUUAGCGCUAUAAUUCAUUGGGCCAAAAUUAUCGACUCAAAAUACUUCAAUUUAAUUAUUAGUUAUGGUAUGCUGGUACAUAAGCCUCUCACGCUCUCCCGUAUUGUAUCACUGUUUUAGGUUCUGACGUUCUCAACCUUUCGACUGGCGAAUUAAUUUUAAUAUUAUUUAUAAUAAUCCAACCAGCUAGUACUAAUAACUCGUUGCACUCAAAUCAUCGGCCUGUUUUGAUGUGUCUAUUAUAUAAAAGCAUCUCAUACUUUCACAUGUUAUCUGAUGUGAAUGGAAUAUCACAGAAUUUUUUUUGGCUUUGUUGCUUAGUUGGUAUUCUUUGUAUUCACUUGGUAGCAGGAACAACAGGAGACAUCUUUUCUGAUUUUUUUUUCUCUUUCUUGUGUUGUUUUUCAAAUUCCCACACUUGAGUACGGACGAAGUUUUGAUUAGUUUAACUGACAAUUAACCUUCCGAUCCUCUUACGAGCUAACUAUUAUAAGGGUUUUUAGCAUCUCAUUAUUAUAGUUAGUUAAGGUACAACAACUCUUCCGUAUAUGAACAAUUUGGAAAUGAUUCCAAAUCUAUCAUAAAGUAUGGUAAUUGUUCAGGCAUUGUUUGAGAUCAUCUUGCUAGGGCCUAGUACUUCGGCAUCUUGAAUCAGACUCAAUAAUAAUGUAAAAGAUCAUAAAUUUAGCAACAGUUACUCUCAUAAUUAACAAAAAUCUGAAUGCUUAAAUUUUUUAUAUUGAAACAGCGUUUUAUACUUGCUGAUUUGAUCACUUUUUCAUUUUGAUAUUUUCUUAAAUUGUUGUGCCGUGUCCUCUCUACUCCAUUCCUCCAAACGCUUCGAAAGUAUAUUAUGUUUUUCGCUUUUUUUUUUAAAAAAAAAUUAUGCCAUGGAGCUCAAGGAUUAAAGCUUGUUUUGGUUUGGUUUUAAAUUUUUUUAUAAUUUUAAUUUAAUUAUUUUAUUUGCGAGCUACUUACUGAUCAAUAGCAAACACUAGAUGAUAGCACAGUACCUUCAUACAGAUGAAAAGUUGACUAAUAAUUUUUGUUUUAUAAUUAAUCAUUUAAUUGGCAAACUAACUACCAAUUAGGAUUAAAUUAUCAACACUUUACAUGAUAACACAUACUACGUACCUCUAGAUUGUCGAAGAGUUGGUUAAUAAUUUUUAAUUGCUCUAAUAUUGAGUAGGUUUUGGUAGUUGUUGAUUUGGUUAGCUGUAUUUAAAAUACUUAAAAUGCUUCGUGCUCCCUACAUAUAUAGAACCGCAAAAAAACACUGAUUGUCGACCUAUGAACAUUCUGCACAGUCGAUUUUAUUUAUUUAUUUUUUUUAUUUGAGAAAACAUUCUGAGUAGUGAGUUGUUUAAUAAAAUUAACUCUUUCUUUGAAAGAGAAAUAGUUCAAAAAAAGCCUCAAUGUGAUUCAUUCGGGAAAUGAAGAAGAAAAGCAGUUAAUGUAAGAACAAGCUAGAAAUUAAAAUAGAAGAAAAAUCAUGUAUUCACAUCUUUUGAACUCUCUCUUUUGAAAUGAACAACAAACAAACAGAGAAAAAAGUUUGUGUUGUGUACAAAACUAACUACAAGAAAAGCAAAUCAAUACAUCUCUUGAUUCUAAGGCAGCGUUUGGUUAGGAGAUAGGGAUAAGAAUAGGCUCUUAUCCCCUCAUUUAUAUCCAAACACUAAUUUUUUAUCCGAGAAUAGUAGUUAUCGGUUAUCCCUACCAACACUUUCAUUUUCUAUAUAAAACUACCUACAAUUGUUCUUUUUUUCAGGAACAAUCUAAUUUUCAUCCAAACACUAUUUUUUUUAUCCCCAUACUUGUACCUAUUCCUGUAAUAGCUAAUUUUUGCUUAUAUCAGAACCAAACGGUACCUAAGUGCUUUCAACCAUUAUAAAAGGACAAAAAGAAAAUCUUUCACUAAUAUAUAACAUCCCAGGAGCUACGACACAACAGCGAAUCCACCCACCGUCAUUAAUAAUUAGUGAUCGUAGAGCAGGUCUUGUUCAACUCCCAAAUCUACCGAUAAAGAGGCACAACCAACCCAUUUUGUUGCACGACACAGAGCAUCUUACGUACCUCUCUACUCUAGUCCUAGGAACGGGGAUGCAAAUGGGAACGACCUGGCCGUAGAAGAUUUGUCUGAGAUUGGAAUUGUUUUGUUACUCUUUUUAUUUUGUUGACCUUUCGUUCGGAUAGAAAAAAAAAAUGUUCAUUCGACGAGUCUGUUAACGUCCCCGUUAGCUUUCGCUGUCGAAUCGGAGCGUGACGGGCAUCUUAGCCGGUCAAUAUCGAAUUCGUCAACCAUCCUUUCUUGCCUCCGCGGAGUAAAUUAUAUAUAUCCCACUUCUCACCCGGAGAAAAAUUUGCCUCGGGAUGGCUCUCUGACUAUGCUCAGGGAACUAAUUUUAUAUUUUUUUGUUCAACUUUAAAUCUAAUAUAAUUAAUCUGUUACUAUUUUAAUUAAAAUAAUAAAAUUACUGUAGAAACAGCUACCUAUUAAUCACAUUUAUUUUAAAAGAAAGAACUAAUAUUUAAACUUCAGGGCGGUAAGAAUUCAGAGCAUAUCAAUUUUUCGCUAUAUGUUAAAUAUAAAAAUAUAAUCAUAUCGUUUUCUACCUGUUUAAAAUUUUAAAGUACAAUAAUUAUUUUACAUAGUAUCUAAGUAGACGGUUUUGAACUGAAGUCGUGCAAUGCUCCUUGCAUUAAAAUAUUUAAACAACAUUAUCUACAAGCUUACAGGAGAAUCAGAAUUCAUUGGCAUCUCUAUCUAGUCUAUCAUCUAGACAAGAGAAAAAUACUUUGAAUUCAAUCAGAUAGUUUAUUUUCUUGUAACAUUUACUCAGAUAGUUUAUUUUCUUGUAGCAUUAUUUACUCAGAAUUCAAUCAACUGGGGACGUGCACAUAGAGUUAGGAACUCGUCCUGUAUCGCUCAAUCGGGACGUCGCACCCACCGAAAUCCCUUGACUCGUUACUAUCGCUCGAAUCCAAGAGCCCUGACACCUAAGCAACUCUGGUGCGAGCGUGGGAACAACACUGCUCUUUCGUGGGCCCUUAAAUUAAUGAGGAGGGAAGUAGAAUUGGGGCUAGGGCCUAAAACCACUAUUUCUUUUUUUGUUUUUUCUUUAAAAGUAAAUGUUAAAUUGUUGUGGCUCGGGUAAAUUUGAUGGACAAUAAUUUUUAAAUAAAUUAUGAAACGUUGCAUUAACAUAACAGCAACCAAUCAAAAGAAUUACAAAUGCGGAGGCUGUAAAAUAUUUUAGCAGCUUUGUAUAUUGGCUCGCGGGGACCGCCAAGCAUUAGAUAUUCUAAUACCCUUGAAUCUUGGCUCGUGGGGCCCGUGGCAAUAAUUAAACCAAAUUUAUUUAUUUUUUAUUUUUUUAUGUAGAAUCCUUUUUGGGUAGGUGAAGCAAUGUAGCUUGUAUCUAGAAGAACAUAGAUAUAUAUAUNUUUAUAGAAAAAAAGAGCUAGUACAUGGCCAUUUGUGUUCUUGCAUUUGCUAAUUUUAAUUUAAAAUUAAGGAUUAUUUUCAAAUUUAAGAAUUCAAAAAAUAAGCAAAAAAUACUGACAGAAUUUAGUCCUCUCGAAUACAAUAUUAUUUUUUUGACAAGAGAUGUACGUUGGAUGGUUUGUAUAGAAAAAUAAGAUAAUAUUUUUUAAAAAAUUGUAUCAAAUAAUCUGAGAUGGAAAAUAUUUGAAGUUCAUACUACAUAAAGCAACCGAAUGACCGGUCCACAUAGUAUAGGUGGACCGGGUGCGGUCAACAAUGGCCGUUUGUUAGCGCACGGCACGGAAUCUCGAAUCAAUCAAUGCAUAGCAGGGAAAGAGAGGCUCUCUGACUCACAGGAAACGCGAUCGCUUAAUUUAAUGCUUAAUUCCGCCCAUUCAUAAGCUAUAUACAUGUCCACAAUUUCCACAUUUGAUCUUUCUACCUUGUUGCCCCACCAGGCCAGCACUUCAUUUAUUGUUCGCGCCACGAUUAUGUUGCUCUAAAUGUAGAUUUGAUACAUUAAUUAAUGCACGAAUUGUAAAGUUGGGAGCGCAUUUUCUCUGGAUUAAAUGUACAAAACUGUUUGCUAGAAUAUAUUUUUCUGAGAGAAAGAUAGUAUGUUAUCCGUUUCGUUUAUUUUUUUUGAAAAUAGACUUAGCUGGAAAUGUGAAACAAUUAGACUUCAAAUUUGAAAUCUCAGAUACCAAACACUGAGCCUUUACCACUUGCGUUAGAGACGGUCGGCUGUUUGUCAGAAUAUAUUGUUCUAAAUAGUCUAGAGGAUUGAUAAAAUUAUGUUUUUUUUUUUCUUUUUUUCUUUUUUUUUCAUAAUGCACGUGUAUGUUUAUAAAAAUUUUGCAGCUUUAGUUUAUGGAAAAAGUCAGAGAUUAAAGUAACAAUAUAUAGUUGUAAAAGUCUCAACUCCAUAAUAAGCCAUAAGAUAUGAGGUAUUGUCUAACACUUAAAAUUACGUAAAACUUUUUUAGAUAAAAGUAGUAAAUUAUCUAUUUUAUUUAUUUUUUUUAAAAAAAAGCUUAUCUAGUCUAGAAAUAUGAAAUAAUAAAAUUUUAAACUUAAAAUCUCGAAUACUAACUAUCAAGCUUUUAACCAAUUACGUGCUAGAUACGGUCUGUUAAUCUCUACUGUCAUUAGUUGAACAUAAUUAGGAUAAAAUUUUAUAUAAAACUAAAAUUUUCUAUCCAAAUAUUUCUUACUAUUUUUUAGUCAAACACUCUGAAAUAUUUGCUAGAUAGGCGAAUAUGCGAGAGUAAAGCUAGAUGUACUCCUAAAGAUUCCCUAGACGGGACUGAUUGGUUUAAUUGGAUUUUUUUUUUUUGAAAGAUAGAUAGCAUGCUAUCUAUUUUGUUUAUUUUAUUUAAAAAUAAACUUAGUUGGAAAUGUGAAUCAACUAGAAUUCGAAUUUGGAACCUCAGCUACCAACCAUCAAGCUCUUUAAAAUGGUUUAAUUGGAAUGUUAAAUUGAAAAGUUGAACUGUUAACUAGUUGUCACCUUAUGGACCUGGCUUGUGUCAUUUAUAAUUUAUAAUCGGAGAUAAAUUCCAAGAUACUGCUGCUCAGUUCAAGAUUUGUAACAUUUCAAAAAUAUUAGAUAUUUAUAUUUAAAAUAAUAAAUUUAUUACUAAUUUAUCAAAUCACUUGUAUUAAAAAAUUAUUAAAAAUUAAUAUAUUUUUAUUGAUAAACUACUACUAAUAAUUUCUAUCAAGCAUGAAAAUACAAAUAUCUUCUUAUCUAAAAUAAUUUAAUAUUCCAGCAAUUUGAAAAUCUAUAAUGAUCAUUUUAAUAUUUUAAUAUUAUCUUUUAUAACUAUCCAACUUAAAUUAAAUAAAAAUAAUUUUAAAUAAUAUGAAAAGUUACUAAAAUAUUACAAAGAGUAAUUCAAACAGUAGAAAUGUUAUGUAUGGCUCCACCACGAGAAUGAUGCCGAUUUUCCAACAUUUAACAAAGCUUCUUUAUUACAACGGAAUGUAUAAAGUGAAUUUUUUAGUAAAAAACAGUUAAAAGAUUUUCAUUAGUUUGAUUUAAAUAAUACUUAAUGACACUUUCAUACAGAAUGAUAAUGUUGAAAGAGCUUUAUUUUGUUUUGUGUGUGUGUGUGUACAAAUCAAAUAUAAUAGUUUUAGUCAAAUUAAAAAAAUAAAUAGUUUCCAAGUUUACUUUAUCUUUUUGGUUAUAAUAAUUAAUAUUGCGCGUCUUUUUAAAUAUUUGCAGCUCACACACAUUUGUUUUAUUAUUAUUAGGUAGGAAUUCAUAUGAGAAUCUGUGUCCCAUUUAUAAGGAUCCCGACCAACUAAGCUGCUUAGUAGUGGUAUAAUAUUAAUUUUGUUAAUAUCAUCAUUCUUUUUAUAAGAAAUUCAAGUGGGCUAAAUAAAUGAUUUGGCAUUUUUCAAAUGGUUGACGAAAUUUUAUCCCUACUUUGAAAAAGCUGAUAACGAAUUUCGACAACUCAAUUUUUUCCUCGACAUUAUUAGAAAACUGGGGAGAAAAAUAAAGGGUGCGACCAAUACGAAUUGAUAUAAAAUUUUCAAACAAAAGAAAGUUUAUUUGAAAAACACCCAACCAUAAGAGGAACGCUUCGAUAGUAUUUUUAAACCCAUGUAGUCACAUUUUUAUAUCCUAUGGAGUCGCUACAAUAUUGGCGUAUAACACACGUUCUAAGAAAUAUUUUAUUUUAUUUUCCUAAUUACUAAAGUAGUAAAGUAACUGUAUUUACUAUUCAAAAUGUUAUCUAAAAGUUUUAACAUUCUUAGCCGUAUUAAUUGUAAGGAGUUUUAUAGAUAAGGUCAGGGAAGAAAUUUGUCCUUAUAUCCAUUCUUAUAUAGAUGUUGAUGGGCAGCUACUCUGUAUUCAAACAAUAAUUUUAUCGUGAGGAGAGAUGACUUGAUAGAUAAGCAACAAAAUUAGUAGGUGAGAAACAGAAGAGUAUUACUAUAUAUAUACUUAGGCUGUAUUUGGUUGGAGAACUAAAAUUUAAAAAACAAUUUUUAUUGUUCUCGAAAAAAAAAAUAUAUUUCUACACAAAAUAGAACAAUUAGAAAUUUUCGUUUGGAUGCAUUCGGAGAUAUUUUAGAGGAUAUCCUUAGUAGCGUUUGGAUAAAAAAUCAAGAAUAAUGUCUAAAUAUAUUUUCAAAAAUAAAAUAAUUAAUCUAUAUUAGUAUAUUUAUAUAAAAUUAUUUACAAAAUUAUUUCAUAUAGUAAUUUAUAAUAUAAUAUUUUAUGUAACAAUUUAAUUUAAAAUAGUAUAUUUAUUUUAUUAUAUAUAAUAAUUCAUUUUAUGUAAUUAUUUAUUAUAUAUAAAUUAUUCAUAAUAUAUGUAAUGAAUAAAGUAUAGUACUAACAAUAUUCUUAUAAUUUUAACUAAUAAUAGUAUAAAUUUCAAUACAAAUUAAAAAAAAUAUAUAUAAUACAUAAAAAAAUAAUUUUUUAUAUAUAAUACUUAAUAUAAAAAAUAAUUAAAUAUUAAUAUAUAAUGAAAAAACUUAAUAAAAUAAAUAAUAUAUCAAAUUUAAUUAAUUUAUAUUAUAUAAUAAAAUUUAAGUAUAAAUAUAUUAUUAUUAUAAAAAUAAUAAUAUUUAUAUUAAUAUAUUUAUUUAUAUAUCCAUUUAUCUACUAAAAUAUAGAGAAGAAUAAAAUUGUUCUCAGUUCAAUUCCCUUAGGAACAGUUUUUAACAAAUUGGACCGUCCAGAACAACCGAGAAUAAUUCAUUCUCCGCAGUUCUCCUACCGUUUAGUUACAAAUUGGGAAAUAUCUCAUUUUGUUUCGAGAUAUCCCUUCUACCAAACGCAGUCUUAAAGUGGAUGUGUAAUUUAAAUUAUUUCAAUUUUUUUUGUUAUAUAUAGUAAUUUAAUUAUCUUCUUAUUUUUUAAACUAAAAAAAUAUAUUUACAUUUUUUAUGAGUUGAAGGACAAAUUUAUGCUUUUUUUUGGGUGUACAAAUGAAUUUUCUCGAGAUGUGCUCUUUUAAUUGGUGCAGUUGAUGGGGGAUAUGUAGGGCAAAUUACUUACGCAACAGGUGUAUUUGUGUACUUCUCAUAAAUCGAUUCGCAAUUGAUAUUUUAAAUUAACAAAGUUAAUAUAAUAAAUAUAUCUAUAAUUUAAAAAAUAAAAAUAAAAACUAUAAGUGGGAAAACCUUAUUCCUAGACAAGAAAGAGAAAGAAUUUAUUUGAGUAAUGAAAAAUACCUAAAAUUUAUAAUUUUUAACAUGUAAUUUUAUAAAUUUUAUAGAAUAUGUUUAGUAAAUUAAAUUUUAAUUUUAAAAUUGUAACAAUAUAAUUUUAGAGUACAGUUUAAGAUGCAUCACAAAUAUUCAAAAUGUCUUGUAUGAUAUAUUGAAAUUGACUAAUAAUAUUCCAAAGAGUGAACAAAAAAUAAUUAAAUCUGUCCACAACGUAACACUAUUUUAUUCCCUAUUUUUUAUGUAAUCAACAUGAAUCCCCAAAUUAGGUGUACUACUUCUUUCUAAAAAAAAUUAUGUGAAUAAUAAUGGGUUAGGCUAUCAGGGAGAUUUCCCAAUCUUUCCGUCUAUUAAGGAUCCCACCGAGGGCGCCUUCUACUUAAUUGGCUGGGUACAGUGGUAUACACGUAGAACUUUAUUUAAUUAUUCCAUUGAAUGUGAUGUCCAAAUUGAAAUAGGCUUUUGGAUAAACUAAAAUUUACGUAAAAAUUAAUUUUCUUUCACUAUUUAUUUUUCUCAAUCCUAAUAUUUGUAAAUAAUAUAAAAAUUGAAGGUGUGGAAGAUGAGCUAAUAUUUUAUUAUUUAUAUAAUUAAAUUCAGUUUGAAAUGAAUCGAAGCUAAUUAUAUUAUUUCAGAGAGUUUGGCUUUCGAUCGAAGGUGAAAUUACGGGAAACAAAAUGGUAAAAGAGAAUAAAUUUUUAUCGAAACUUUAGCUCGCGAGAAAAUUUACUGGGUCUAUCUAAUCAAAGUAACAUGGAACACCAUGACCACCCAAGAAAGUACCUUCGUGGGGUUUUGCCGUCUUCACGAGGUGCACAUUUAUUGACAAAAACUACAACAGUUACAGCGAUGUAUUCGCUUGUAGGAUCCGAAAGAUCUCCUUUGUACUACUCUAAUCACAACACGCUACUCGGUCCAUUUCUCUUCUCUCCACUCCGUAUCCUCUCUAUCCUCCUCUCUCUCUCUCUCUCUCUCUCUCUGUUACUCUCUCUGUUACUCCUCUCCCCCCCUCCUUUAUAUAUACAAGUAUACAACACCUCGGAUCCCUUAUUAGUUUACUCAAUACACACACACUCUCUUUCUCUCUCUCUCUCUCUCUCUCUCUUUCUCGCGCGCGCGCGCGCGCGCUCUCUCUUUGGUCUCAGUGAACUCGGAUCGAUUAGAGAAGGGGCGGGGAUGGCGAAGGAGGGGGCGAAGGGGGAGGCGCUGAGGGGGAGCUACGGGGCGGGGAGGACGAGGAGCUACGAGUGGAGGGUGGCGCAGCUCAAGGGCAUCGUCAAAAUGGCCGAGGAGAGGGAGAAGGACAUCGUCGACGCGCUCUACGCCGACCUCGCCAAGCCCGAGACGGAGUCCUACCUCCACGAGGUCGAAUCGGAUCCCUCCUCACCCCUUCUCUUUCUCUUUCUCUCUUCUUCUGUUAGUUUCUGUAUCCUCUCUAGUUGUUCUCAGAUUUUUUGGGGUCUAAUUGAUUACUAUUUUAUUAGUUUUAUUUUUGAUUUGAGUUGUGAGAAAUUUGUUGGUGUGAGUGGUGAUGGUGUUUUCUCAGCAAAGUAAAGCUGAAUAGUGAAAAGGAAAGAGAAAUACCUGGAUUUUACUCGAAUUACAGCGUAAAAUUUAAGAUGUUGAGAUUUUUUUUCCAACUGGACGAUAAUUCCGUGCCCGUUUUCAACAAUUUUGGCUCGCUUUGUUACUCUUGCCCUUUGAUGUGUUCGGCUCGACAAUUAAUCGUCUUAACAAGCGACUGACCAAGUUUACUAGAACAGAUACUUUGAAGUGAAUUGCUACCAAAUUAUCAAUUACCAUAGUUUUAAAUUUGGGUGGUAAGCUGCAGUUCGAGCAAACAUAAGAUGGUUUUGGCAAUUUUUUCCCCCGAGUGUUAUUGUAAGUAAUUGAAAGAGCGUAAAUACAGCUGCACAUUUCUUAGCUUGUACUUGGUGGUUUGUAAUACAUUUUAUUUCUCCCAUUUAGUUUCUUUUCUUGUUUCAAAUAUAAGAAAGCAAAUGAGAAUGGGAAGUGGAAUCGGAUUGCAUUGGAAUGAACAAUGGAAUGACGAAUCAUCUACAAAUAUUUGGUUUAUCAUUGGAAUGAAAAUCGGCAUCAACAAUUGUGACACCUAAGAUUUUGAGAGAAGGUUUUUGGUUAAGGGAGGAGAGAAUGAUGAAGGGAGAGGAAUGAGGGGUGUUUGUGAGAGAGAGUUUUGAGUGGUUAACUCUAGAAUGAGUCAAUCGACAAUUCAAAGAUAGGGCUAAUUACCAUUCCGGAGUGGAUUGGGAAUUGAAUCGAAAUCCAAUUUCUGUAAAACAAAUUGCAACUAUUCGAAUCGGUAAAUAUCAUUCCGAUUCCAGAGUCUAAAAUAAGUGAACCAAAUAAGCCCUAUUAAUUUUUCUAGAUCAACAUUGUAUUGGCAAGAAGUCCUUUCUGCAUCAAGCAUGGAUUACUGACUUGUUUGUGAUAUCUUUUCUUUUAACCUGUUCAGUUUAUAUAUAUAUAUAUAUAUAUAUAUAUAUAUUUUAUCCAAUGCAUGAUCAAUUGUUUAUGAUGCAGAUUUCAUUGAUAAAAUCUUCGUGUAAGUUUGCUUUAAAAGGACUAAAGAAUUGGAUGAAACCAGAAAAGGUAAUGGUCAAAAACAUCUUGUGGUUCGAGAGAAAGAAGCAUUGACUAUUCGCGUAUUAAUUCUGAUAAAAUUCUUUUGCUAACAUCAUUGACUUUAAACCAAUUAAUUCGUAUGCAGGUGUCAAGCUCCAUCACAACAUUUCCGUCAACAGCACUAGUUGUACCCGAGCCACUUGGUGUUGUGCUGAUUAUGUCCGCAUGGAACUAUCCGUUCAGUAAGUCAUGAAAAUCCAAUAUAUUUUGCACUACCUACUUAUUAGCUUGACGAAAAUACUAAAACCUGACAUGCUUACAAGAAUUGACUUUCUAAAAUCAUUUUAUCAUAUGUAAUUUUACCCUAAAAUCAAAUUCACUUAUUUUGAAAUUGCGCAGCUGCUACAACCUUCGGGGAUCAUUUGACUAUAGAAAACUGGUAUUUUGUCUUUCUUUGGUGUAAUAUCUCUGUCUGCCGAACCAAUUUGAGUAAAAUUUAGGGGCUAUCUCCUUAAAUGCAUCAGAAGCUUAGGAGACAACUAUGCUGGAACCGUUGAUGAAUAGGAGGUUUAUAUUUUCAAAGGCAAAGGAUAUUUAGGUGGUCUAAUUUCCAUAAUUGUUGACAAGAAUUGUGAUUUUCUGUACAUUACUAAUUAGAAUAAUGCAAAAGUUGAAUUUGAAAAAUAUGCUAUAAAUUUAACAGAAAUGUCAUAAACUAGAUGGAUGGUAGGAUGCUGUUAGUGUUUCUUUUCCCCAUUAGUAAAGAUUCUGUAAAACUGAUGUGUUAUCUCAUUCUUGGUGUAUAUUUGCUUUUUGCAGAUCAAAGUUAAAAUACUCUUAUCUCAUUCUUGGUGUAUAUUUGCUUUUUGCAGAUCAAAGUUAAAAUACUCUUACCAAAUUCCUCAUUUGCUAUGCAUCUUAAAUUGUUGCUCAAUUAGUACACUAACAUUUAAUUGUAUAUGGAUAGCUUUUUCUACUGGGCAAAAGUAUUAACAUAGGCUGUUCCAAAUCUGUACAAUCUGUAUAAUGCCUAGAAUAGCAGGUUGGUGUGCAAUGUUAUAUUUUCUUUAUGAAUCACCUGCUCAUUUCCUAGGUUUCCUCAAUGUUCUUUAGGUAUCCACUAUAUCCUAGAACCAAAACAUUGGUCUUGAAAGCUAUUUGCUUACAGUUGGAGUUUUCAUGUAAUGGGAAAAGUUCAUUAUCUCAAUCAGAACCCCGAAACUUAAGAAAUAACCGUUAUCUUUCUACUUUUGACAGUAUUAUCUCUUGACCCACUUAUUGGAGCUAUUGCUGCUGGUAAUGCUGCUGUGUUGAAGCCAUCAGAAAUUGCACCAGCUACAUCAUCAUUAUUAGCGAAACUUUUACCUGAGUAUUUAGAUAACUCCUGUAUCAAAGUUGUUGAGGGGGCGGUUCCUGAAACAACUGCGCUCCUGGAACAAAAGUGGGAUAAAAUAUUUUAUACAGGUUUUUCCCUUUUCUACCAUCUUUUUCUCUGUACAGAAAAAUGUAGCUUAUAUCUAUUGUAUCUUUAUAAUUUUUUAUGUUUGAGAGCGUUUAAGUUCUGUUAUUUUUUUUUCUUCUAUACCUGAGGUUGUCAAAUUCCUGCUCACUCUUUGCCAUCCUUGCUUUUUGACCUUUUAUUGUAUAAUAUAUUUAAGGCUAUUUUUUCAAACUUCUUAUGGAGACAAUGUUGUAUUCUUAAAAGAAAGUAAAAAAAUUCCUUGCUGCAACAAUCCUAAUACUGUAAUUGAUGACUAAGAACCUGGCAUACAUUGCAGGUAAUGGAAAAGUUGGUCGUAUUGUAAUGGCUGCCGCAGCAAAGCAUUUAACACCAGUAGUUUUGGAGCUUGGAGGAAAAUCUCCUGUUAUUGUCGAUUGUAAUGUUGACCUAAAGGUAAAAUCUUUUCCAGUCUGUUAAGAUAUUAUGAAAUCUAUCAUGUUGUUCCUUCUAACUGAUUAUUCUAUUUAAGCUGAUGUGGCUACGCUCAUUUGUUUUCAGGUUGCUGUUAAAAGAAUUGCAGUAGGCAAAUGGGGAUGCAAUAAUGGACAAGCUUGCAUUGCUCCGGAUUAUAUUAUCACAACCAAAUCAUUUGCACCAAAACUGGUAAAAUAAACAGAUGGAAGUAGCUGAAGAAUUUGUAGAAUAAUAAUUCUAAUUUGAAUAUGAACUUUUUUUUAAAGGUGGAUGCUUUGAAAUUUUGUUUGGAGAAAUUUUAUGGGAAGGAUCCAUUAGAAUCAAAGGACAUUUCCCGUAUUGUGAAUUCAAACCAUUUCAAUCGCCUGUCGAAUUUAUUGGAUGAUAAAUUGGUUGCUGACAAGAUUGUGCAUGGAGGCCAGCGAGAUGAGAAACACCUGUGAGCAUCAUGAAAUCAGAACUCUUUUUUUUAUAUAUGAUAAAAGCUAUAUGAAUACAAGAAAAUUGCUCUAACACCCGAUUUUAUCGCAGGAAAAUUGCACCUACACUCUUAUUAGAUGUUCCAGAUGAUGCACUGAUUAUGAAGGAGGAGAUAUUUGGUCCCUUGCUUCCUAUCAUCACGGUUAGAAAUUUUGUUGUAAUUCUAUUUUCCAUUAAGAAUAGAAAGUUGAAAGCUGUUAUUUAUAUACUCGAAACUAUCUUUUUUGAAUUUGCAUGAGAAACUAAGCAUAUUUGGUUUAUGCUUGAUUCUCAAAGCAUGGAGUGCAUUAGAAGCCAACUCUAGUAUUGUCUAGUGAGAGAAAGUAGAAAGAUUGUAUAUGAAAUCAGGAUACAAGCAUGCAUAUACAACUUAGACUAGUUCUAAGUUAGAGAAUAAGAAAAAGGAAAUGAAAUAGAGUAAUUGUACAUCUGGUUGAAAAGGUUGUUUGCUGAAGUCACCCAAUUUUGUUUUAGGCAAUUUCUAAGAUUUCUAUACUGUUUUAAUUAGGUCGACAAGGUGGAAGAAAGCUUUGGUAUCAUCAACUCGAGGACAAAGCCUCUUGCUGCCUACCUAUUCACUAAAAACAAGAAACUGGAAGAGGCAUUUGUUAGAUCUGUAUCUGCAGGGGGAUUGCUCAUAAACGAUGUAGCCUUACAUGUAUGUUUUCUAUCUUUAUUUUUCUACAUUUUUUUUGCGCUGCACAUACAUAUAUUGAAAACAUUAUUUUUUGUUCAUCUGAUAAAAACUGUUAGGCUCUUAACAGUACUAAUGCUGUAUAUCUGAAAAUCAAAAAACAUUGUAAGGUUAUGUAGUAAUGCGCUGUCCUUCAUGUAAGAUCUAGACAUUCUUACUAAAGAUUAAUUGACUAAUGUCCACAGGCAAUAAACAUUAGUUUUAUGCAAUUUUUCAUGCAACGACCCGACACGCUAACAACAAUAACUCGUUGGGCCCAAACCACCGGCCAAAAAUGCUUAAGUCCAGUUAUUAUUACUAGCGUGUAGGUCUUAUAUAAACUGAUCGGAAUCAGUAUCCCAUCCGAUGUGGGACUAUUGGGGCGUUACAUUCCAACAAUAAGCCACCGACCUAAAUCAAAUAUCCAUCUAUUCUCUUUUUGUUUGUGAUGCAGCUCGCCAACCCUCAUUUGCCAUUUGGAGGAGUACAAGAGAGUGGAACUGGCUCUUAUCAUGGCAAAUUUUCAUUUGAUGCAUUUAGUCACAAGAAGGCUGUUCUAUCCCGCGGUUUCGGAGGGGAAGCUUCAGCGAGAUAUCCUCCCUAUACACCACAGAAGCAGAAAAUUCUGAGGGGGCUGCUGAACGGUAGUUUCCUAGCCCUAAUUCUUGCUCUAAUAGGAUGGCCCAGAGAUUAAGCCCCCCUUGAUGUAUUCGUUGUAUCCCUAUUGUCGUACGCAAUAAUUGCCUUAACUAUGACGGUGUAAGGUAAAACGCUUGUGAGCGUGCGUUCCUGCAUUUUAUAUUUGGAGAAAUAAUAUACACUAUACAGUAUGUUUGGAAACACGCUUCAAGCUUUUGGCUGCAACUUUGUCGAGACAUUGCAAUGGGUUUGGUAUUACUCUCUUUGAACUUCUUUGUUUUUUCAGUAUUGGAAAAUAUGAAUAUCGCAAAGAAGUCGGUACCUGCUUUGCAUUGCCUUUUGAGCUUCUCUAUUAUCAAAUAUGCGCGAAGCAUGAAUGUCUCUCUUGAUCAAGCUAAUAAACAAUAGCAAGCAUGUUAAAUUCUAUCAUUGAUGCGUUAGAUAACAUAAAAUUUAGAAACAGUACGUAAGAAGCAACGUCAAACAACACCUCACACAUUAUUUAUCCUAAACGUUCCACAUUUCAUGUUGCUUGGUCUCUAUAUGUAGCCAACCAAUUGAACAGCUGUUCGUGUGAGAAAUAAUUAUGUUAUCAGUGAGGUCUAGCACACGAAUGUAAGAAAUACUUGUGCUAUUUUAGUUAUUGCAAAACAAAUUUUCACUCUUCGCAACUAAAUACCGUGGCACCAUUAAGAAUAAGCAAAGCAGAGAGCCAGAUAUAAGAUUCUAUUUUGUAAUUGUACAUAUAUAAGAAUGGCCCUCUCCUUGUCCAAAAGCAAUAUGCCGCCAGGGGAACAUUAAAGACAAAAUAAAGGCAUAGAACAAAGUUCAAUUUCCAAGUAAACAUAUCAAAAUGUAGCCUCAAUUUUAUAAAUUUUCUCUCAUCUUCACCAGAACUUAAGAAGUUAAAAGUAUUUACGCAUUGUUAAAAAAAAAAGCGCUUCGUCUGAUAUUAUUAAACGAUGUGGCAGAACAAAAGAUGAUUGCUUUUUUUUAUCCCUCCAAGCCUUCAAGUCUUUAGGAAGCAAAGCAGCAUGUCUUAAGCUUGAACGACUCCUUGAAGCGGUAGGAGGAUACACAUAAUAACAAAACACAGAGUUAAGAAGCUACCAACUUACUUCACCAUACGGUGCUGGAGCCUCCGUGUCAUCAUAUUGAGAUACCCUGCAGCAUUUCCAAUGAAUACAUCUUUAAACUCAAGAGUUCCCUUAAAAUGAUUAUAUUCCGAGUUACUAAAUAUUCCAAGUUACUUUUCAAUCUCUUCUUCAAUGAUCUAACUUACUUAUAUGCCCUCACAAAAUGAUCUAUUACAUGGACACCCUGUGAAAUCUUAGUUUUGUAUAUAUCCUCAAAAAACUUGAUUUCUUGCACGCAUACUUCUAAAAUAUUCUUUAAAAAACUUGUAUUUAUACAAAACUAGCUUUUGUCAUUUCCCCGAGUUGGAUGACUCUUUUGUAAGCGGGGAAAAAAAGAACUUGCGAGGGGCAUAUAUGAAUAUUCAAAUUUUACACGACCACAUAUAAAAAUAGGUAAUUUUGCAGGGGCAUGUCUAUUGAAACCCUUUUUUGGCCAAGAUGAAGGCUUUGCUAAUAAUAGAAAACAUUCAUAAAUUUUGAUUUUGCAUGAUAAAUUACCUCUGGAGGUUCAAAUUUUGCACCAAGAUUACUGAGCUUAGCAUGAGCUUCAGCAUAGUCCUCAAAGAAUGCAUCUUGAUCCUCUGCAUAUUUCUCAGCAUAGACCUGCAAACAACGGAGCUUCUUGUGGUAAAUAAAGGUCGAAUCCUACUGAGUAGCAGUGAUUAAUCAUCAGCAUUCACCUUGAAUGAUGGGUCCUCAAAUAAUACAGCGUCAGUGGGCAAAACUAGAAGGUCUUCAUCUCUUCGUUCUUUGACAUCCUACAUGAAUAUCCUUGUUGAACUCAUUUCAUAUUAUUGGAUGAUUGAAUAUAGUUAUCACAGCAUUUAGAAGAGGAUUUAUUACAGCAUUACAAAAGAAUCUUACCUUGAAGUAGCUAUUAUCGAACUUUAACCACUGAACGGUCCACGACUGCCCCCCAGGUGCUCCAGGUCCAUCUUUCUGUUAAGCAACGAAGACUGAAUUAAUGACCCAAUAUUCACCACCAACCCAGCAUUAUUUCUUAACAUUAAACUGUGCAUGUUAUUGAAUUAGAUAUAAGAAAAGUUGAAGAGUUAUGUGGCAGUAAGAAACAUAUAACUAGUUUACAGGACACAAACAACAACAGUAUCACUUGUGAACAUAAUGAACAUUGCACAAUCAGCAAUACCACUGGCGGAACAAAAUAUUGACCAACAUCCAAAAAGCCAUUGAGAAUGUCAUUAUACAACAAGCAAAGCUUAAAGAAAAGAAUAGAAAACCAACUAAGCUUCCUUGCUCUGAUAAGAAAUUUGGAGGGAAAAGAAAAUUUGAAUUAUUGAGCAAUUUGCUUUUGCUCAUAUUUGAACAAAGAGAAACUGAGGGCCAGGUUAUAUCCGUAUAAAUUCGCAGGCUUUCAAAUUUUUGAUCACAAGCAGAGAACAGAACAGAUAGAUCAUACACACUGAUGAAAAAGACCUCAUGCCAGAAAAAGAAUUUCUCUGAGGUUUGUCUAUCUUAAUAAAAAACCAAUGUUGAUUAGCAACUGCAGACCUUGAAGGUUCCAGUACGGCAGUACAAAGUAGAUGAAAUAGGGCAAUAAAAGGAAAUGGAUAAGAGGGGGCAACAGAUGGGUAGAGAAAGAAAUCGGGAAAGGGAGAAGAAGAAAAGCAAGAAAGGCACAGAGAGAGACCGGAGCAGCACCAGAAGAAAGCGAAGAAAGUAUUGAUGUUUUUAUAAAUAUUCUGUAUUUUGAGCAAAAGCCUGGGAGCAAAACAAUGAGAAUAACAUACUGUGUACUUUGUUUCGGGCUUUCCCCAGCCACUUCGCUCUGGUCUAGCCCUUCCCAGUGUAUGUGCUCCAGAUAAUGCAACUAUCUCCUGCAAACAAACAUCAUACAUCUUGAAUUAUGUACUUUGAUACAAACAAUUAUACUUGCAAGGAUUAUCAUGAUCAUAAUAAACCUUGUCUGUUAGGCCCAUUCUGUAGAACACCUCCCUUAAGUGAUCAGCAGGUGAAGGUGGGCCGGCAGCUGAACACAGAAAAAUUUUAACAAUAUUAUGGAAUGUAAGAAAACAGAGCAAGAGCAAGAGCAACUAAAUGGUAAAGUCACAGCAAUAUUGGUAAAGUUUCAACAAUGAUUCGGCAAGAUAAUAAAAAGCAUAAAACUAGUAUAAUAAAAUGUACGAAGAUUGUUGUAACUAUUGAACCGCGGGUCAAAAUGACAAUUUGGCAAGAGAAAGAACGCAUAAAUUACCAACAGAAACUUUCAGGAAAAUGCUGUGAUGACCAUGCCAUAGCCAAGUUAUUGAGCAUUCUUAUGGCCAAACCAAUGUAAAAGCAGAUAAGCUGAUCCUAUACCUUCUAUACUACAGUGACACUAAGAUCCAGAUGUCACUCAAAUCCUACAGAUCAUACACUUGGUGUAACACAGAAAUGUUAGAACAAAAACACGAACUGUCCGAUCAAAUAAAACUACUGACCGGGAAGCCUCCCCUCGGGUGGGCAUUGUUCAGGUCCGCUAACGUCAACCCUCCCAUACUUCAUCGGAAUCUUUGGUCCACCAGCUUCCUGAGAUAAGAACAAGGGGAAAUAUGAAAUUCCACAAAGUAUAAAAAAAAGGGAGUUUCAUCACUGUAAAAGUCUAAACAAAUCAAAAGCCAACUAAUUCAUUGGAGGAAAAGACCUCAAUGGCUGUAGCACUGGCUAGCUGGAAUAGAUCUGCAUAAGUUAUGCCAGAAUACUUGUCCUUGAUAGGCUGGAUAAGCUUUAAGGCAUUUACAAGACCUGCAGUACAGUAUAAGAAUCCCUCCAUGGCAGUUUAAUAGUAGAUUGAAUAGGGUACAAAAGAAAAAAGAAAACUACCAGCAUUUGCUCCAUGCUUCAAUUCUACUUCAAAUCUCAGGCUUCCAUUAGCUCCUCCUCUUUGCGGCCACUCUGUGAUGUUCUUGUCAUAAGUACCAGCAUCAUGCCAUCCCAGACGAACCUGCAAUUGAAUGGAAUCAUCACAGAAGCUAGAUGCGUCAAAUAGAGAAGUCAAAAGUUAAAUUUUAUGCAUCAAUAGUGGUAGCGCUUAAACAAUAUAACCUUUACAAUAAAACCCAAAUGGAACAUAAAUAUUUUGAUUUUGUUCAUUUUAAUGUUGUUCAAUUCAGUUCACUUCCAAAAUUUGAAAGCCAAAAGUUGCAAACCAGUCAAGUUGUCCUCCAGAUUUUGCUUAACCCACUAAAAUGUAUAGUCACGUACUAGUACCAAAUACUUGGCAAAGCCAUUUUAGAAACACAUAACACGUUAGAGGAGCUACUUUAUUGUAAAGAAACCUUGAAUACUAAGUGUUCCCUACACUAAUAUUCUCUCAACCUUCCUCUAAAAUAUAUUGAAUUCCUUUCCCAAAAUAUUUAGGUUUAAGCUGCACUACCUAACAACUGGGCCACUAUUAUCUCCAACCUAUAAAUUAAACUAAAAACCAGGUAACAUUUAAGUUCCCAAGUAGCAAUUUCAACUGAUAGUGAGAUCAAAAGAACCUUCCAAUCUACUUCAACAACUCAAAUACAGCCAAUAUUUUCUCCGUCGAGAGCUCGACAAACCAAAUCAAAGCACACAAACAAGAUGUUCACCAAAGAAACCGAAUCAACACGAACGCGAUUCUCACCAAUAGAAACGAGAACGAUGACACCAUACCAGAAUCGGGUGGCAAAAGGUGGCCUUAAGGAGCUCCUUGAUGUCCUCCCUCGCGCUCCUCAGCUGCGCCGGAUCCGACGACGAGAACGUCGCCGCCGCCGCCGAGCUGAUCCCACGGCCCAUCGCCGGGAUCUGCGAGAUCCCCAGUACGAUCACGAACAAGGAGAUCUACAAGAGACUCUGGAUUAGGGUUAAAGAGUGGAGAGAACGAACCUGUAGGAUGCGGGGGUGCUGAGAAGAGAGUGGCCAAGGGGAGCGGAGGAGGGAGGAGGAAGAGGAGGAGGUGGAGAGAAGGGAUCGGGCGAUGGAGGGGCGAGGGGAAGAUGAAAUUAGGGUUCGGGGCUUUGCAGCGCCGCGCUUGGGGAGGAGGGAGGCGAUGGAGGUCGCGGAGGAGAAGAGGCGCUGCGCCAUCGGAGUAGCAACGACGUGUGACGAGCACGCGACGCCGCUCGGAUUGGUUGGCUUUGUGUGAAGUUAGGACUCGGCGAAAAGUCGAGCGUUGGCUCGAUGACGACCAAUUAAUAAGAGCAGGACAUAAGGUGUGUGCGCGUGCAGAAGCUUUGGUGAUCAGUAAGUAAUUGGUCGAGCUCAUGCGUAUUAUUGGGAAUGCACAUUCACCGAGACUGGUCUCAGCCGCCCAAAUCAGCCUCGAGAUUCGUGGCCUCUCUUCGCUUCUUGUUUUUUUUUUUCCAAAGGCCUCCUCGCCUCAAGUUUUCCUACCUUCUAAAUAAAUGAAACCAUAGUAUACUAUCAAUUCUUUUUAAAAAAAUUUGAUAUAUAGAUAAUUUUAAUAUUUUUUAAAAAGUGGUGAAUAAUUGUUGUAUUUAAAAAGUGAUAAUUUAUUAGCUGCAUAUACUUGGUUUCGUAAAUAAAAUUUUUAUUAAACUAUUUUUAUAAUUAUUAUAUUUUUUAAACCUUUUAAUAAAAGAUGUUUUUUUAAAUUAAAAACUUGUCACGACCAAUUUUUGUCAAGUUAAGCCUAAUUGAAUUAGUUACCUGGUUAGAUUGAAAUAUGGAGAGUAAGGCAAAAUUUCUUGACAAAAAGUGAAUUGAACUGAACAUCAUCAUCUCUUCACUAAACGUGCCUUGAAAUUGGAUUAAACUGGCGCGCGUUGUUACAAUGACUAAGACAUUUUUAAUAUGAUUUCGAACUUCCAUCCGAAAGGAGUAUUUGUGAUUUGAACAAUGCACUCUAUCAUUAUUUGUACAUCCAAAGACUAAGCACAAAUUUUAUACUUUAUUCAUAAAAAAUAAUAUUUUUACGCCAAGCGUAUCAAUUUUUUUAAUAUUAAAGUUUAAAAAAGGUGUGUAAAUUUUAGACGAAUGGACAUAAUAUUUACAUUAAUUUUUGAAUAUACAAGCAGCUAGCAUAAAUUUUAUAGAAGGCUCAAAGUUUUAUAGAAAAGGUUUUAUUUUAGCCUCUUAAAGACUAGAAUUUCUAAUAUUUUUAUAUUUACUAUGCGUAAUUAUUAGAGACUAAUAUGUAAUUUUUAAAAUUCUCAGUGGGAUCAUAACCACUAUUAUGCUUCUUAAUAUAGCUCCAUCCCCGCAUAUAUGUAUAUUUUAUUUACUGUAUGUCCGGAUUUCAUAAAAAUAAAUUAUAUUCAAAGUUAAAACUUACUUUAUAAAAU
Molecule: long non-coding RNA, 83610 nt
Filed under: Ananas comosus (pineapple)
Lineage: Eukaryota; Viridiplantae; Streptophyta; Magnoliopsida; Poales; Bromeliaceae
Description: long non-coding RNA (ACOM_LNC025174)
Source: RNAcentral